UGAAUAUGUGUUGUUGGGUGUGGUUAGUCGAGGCAUCUGUAUGAGUGGGUUGAGAGAUUUUUUGAGAGCCAGUUAGGGAUUCAAAAUUCGAAUUUCGGAUCGGAUUGUUGAUAGGAAAAAUAUUUUUUAGUUGGCUGGGGAUUCAAAAUUCGAAAUCGAAUUCUAAAUGAAAAAAGGAUACGUAUGAGAUUAUUAGGAGGAAAGAUAUUUUCUAAUUGGUUAGGAAUUUAAAAACUUAAAACUGAGUUUCAUCAUAAUAUUUUUAAAUUGAAUUUCGAGAUGUAGAUGUGGGCUGUCAUCCAAUGGAUUAGGCUGAGUCCAAAUUGGUUGGGCUCACUUCGAUGGAACUGUUGGUUACAAAUAGAAGUAUUCAUUGGGCUGAAAUGAGAUCCGAAUUAUUAAAUAAACUAAAAAAUUUAAUGGGCUUUCAUGAGGCCCACAGUCACGUAUUCAAAUGUGGGGCCAAUUGAAUGGAUUUGAAUUAUUGAUAAGAUUUUUUUUUUUUUUUUUAAGAGAUAGGUAGCACGCUACCUGCUUCAUUUAUUUCAUUUAGAAAUAAACUUAGCUAGAAAUGUGAAUCAACUAGAAUUCGAACUUGAAUCUCGGGUACUAUAAUUUAUUAGAAUUAUAUGUACUAUAAUUUAUCCUAAAUAGAAUCCAAAAAAAUCAAAUAAGUUCAAAUCAAUAUUACGGACCAACCAUAAUCUUUGCUCAUUAUUAUUAUUAUUAUUAUUACUACUUUUGCCCCAAAAGCGUUAAGUAUAUAUUUUUUCUACAUUAUUGAUAUUAAGCGAAAGUCGACUUUUCUCUUAUAAAAGGGAAGAAGUCAAGAGUAGAAAAGUAAGGAAAUAAAGAAGCAUUAAAAGCUAUCACUUAUUCACUUUACAUCAUAGAAUUACUCCCGUCUAAAUAUCCCCCACUAGGAGGAGUCUUUUUCAUGAAAAAAAAAAAGGGAAAAAGUAUUUUUUAUUUAUUUGCUGCCUAAAAUAAAAUAAUUUUCUUAGGAAAAAAAAUUCUAGAUUUUAUGGAAAGUCAAAAAAAAAACUUCUUUAUAAAAAACAUGUACUUCAUCACUUUCUUGGGGGCCUUUGGUCUGGUGUAAAAUAAAUCGAAAAAUUAUUUUCGGUAUAAAUUUUUUUUUUUUGCACUUGUUUGGUUUUAUGGAAAAAUAUUUUCUACAGAUUUAGAAGAAAAUUAAAAAAUUAAAAUUUUUAUCUUCUGCUGAAAAAACGGUGAAAAACAAAAACUCAUGCUGCGUAAAAUUUUUUUCAUUCUUUUUUUAUUUCUGCUGAAGCAUACAAAUAUGAAUUAUUCUUUCCUUCAAUUAAACAAAUAUUGAUGAAAAAUUUUUUCUUCCUUAUAAACUGAAUAUCAUAAAACGUAAAAAAAAAAAAAAAACAAAAAAUUUUUUUCAAAAAAAAAAAUAUUAUGCAAUUCUUCUCCUUCGUAGACUAGACUUUUGUUUGGGGCAUGACCCAAGCCCUUGCGUCACAUUUCGUUGCAUACUCAUGAGUCCUCUAACUAAAAUAAUAAAUAAAUAAAAAUAUAUAAAGUGAUGUGAAUUAUUACUUAUUUUAUUUCAUCUAAUCUAAUUUUUAAAAUUUUUUUAUUUAUUUAAGUUUAAUAAUUUGAUAGCUUUUUGAAUAUAAAGUUUAAGUUAAUUAUUUAUUUUUAUAAAUUUAUAGUUAUGUAAAUUGUAUAAAAUAUAUUAAUCAAAUUCAUGUAAAUAAACAUGGCUUUUAAAUGCGCCACUGACCCACUCAAAUCAAAUAAAAAAUUUAGAUAGCAAAUUUAAAAUUUUAAAUAAUCAAAUCAAAAUGAAGAAUAGUUAAGAUAAAUUUAUACAGUUUACUAAAAAUAAAAAAAAUAAAGAGUUAUAUAAUUAUAGGGCUGUCAAUGAGCCGAACAUGGGCUGGCUCCUGCUCGCUUAUUUAAUAAUGAGUCAAGCACAAGCUGGCUCAUUAAAUAUCGAGUUGAAAACUUAGUUCGUGUUCGGCUUGCUUAUUAACGAGCUGAGCACUAGCCGACUCGCAAAUAAUAAGUUAAUUUGUCGGUCCUAUUACUAGACGAAAGUUUGAAAAAAAAAUAGACGAUUAGGAUCUUAAUCUAAUAAUUAAAAUUCAUAACAUAUAGAUCUCUAAAUUCAAAUAGUAGAAAUUUGUAACAUACAAACAUAUAUAUAGAAUUGAGCUCCUCUGCUUUUAAAAGUACCAAAUUAUUGGCGUUUGUAGGUUUUCGGCCUUUGGAUUAAGUGAUGUGCAAUUAGGAUGACAGUGAUACUCUUAGGAUUGAGUGGAUGGUUAGUUGAAUAAUAUGAUUUGACAGAUAAAAAUUAUCAAAGGGGCUCUAUAUAUAUACAGUAGGGUGCUUCUAAUAGCACCAAAUAUUCGGUGCUACCAAGUUUUCCGCUGUUAGAUCUAUCCCUUUAAUCAUUUUCAUCCGUUAGAUCAUACUAUUCAACCAACCACCAACUUAACUCUAAAGAUCCAUUAUCAUUCAAACCAUACAUUCCUUCAUCCAAGAGCUGAAAACCUAAUAACACCAAUGACUUGGUGCUAUUUAUAGCAUUCCAGUUUAGGCUAUCUAUGAACUAGGCUAGAAUACUAUUAGUAGCACUAAGUUAUUGGUGCUAUUAGUUUUUUAGCUCUUGCAUUAAGAAAUUGCAGUUAGAAUGAUGUGGACCCCCUAGGGUUGAGUGGAUAGUUGGUUCAAUAGUAUAAUCUAACAGAUAAAAAUGAUCGAAGAGUUAAAUCUAACGGUGGAAAACUCGAUAGCAUAAGCCCUUGGUGCUAUCGAUAGUAUCCCACCUAGACUAUAUAUUUAUAUAUUCGAGCAAUAUCGAGAACGAAUACGAGCGAGUUGUUCCCUUCCUCGUGUUUGUCUAAUCAAUGAGCUAAGAAAUUUAGCUAGCUCAUUUAUUUUAUAUAUAGAGAGAGAGACAGAUAGAGUGUGUGUGUGUGCGCGCAUGUGAUAUACUUGUGAAAGUGUGGAAUUCUCCGUACUUCAAAUUUUUCAUACUUUCAAAUCGUUUUCGAUGUUGAGAUUUUCGAAUUGACAACCGACUACGUUAGAUUUGAUCUGAAAUAUUUAAAAUAUUAAAAAAAUAAUUUUUUUAUUUUUUAAUAUUGUUUAUCUAAUGAUCGAAAGAUAUCAAAAUCAAUAAUAUAUAUNAUCAUAGUACAUACUGAAAUACAAAAGUUAGAAAAAUAAAAUUAUGGACCAAAGUAAGUACUAAGGUAAAGAACAAAAUUCAACUAUGUAUGUUUAAUCAACUGAAAUUCACAUUUGCAAUGUUGCAAGUUUCAAUUCAAGAAUAUUCAUACAUAAAUACUAAAAAUUAAUUAUCUUCAAGUCAUGUAAGCAACGAAAUAUCACAAUUGACAACAAAGAAAAACUAAAUAGCGAUAGCAGGGACUCAUGUUGCAUGAAAAUGUAUGUUCAAUUUGAAAAUAACAGUCGUAUCUUAUAUUUUGAUAAAAAAGAACCAAUUCUAGGCUAUUCACCACAUUUGGACGAUAAAAUUCAGGCAUAAUAUAUAGACAAAUCACUCUGAUUUUGAUCUUUUAUUUGUCUCCAAGAGGGGUGAUGUCCUUUAUAGAAUCAAACUCAGAUGCCAUAUCCUGAAAAUAAUAAGACAUUCAAGGAAAAAAGUUAGUACUUACUUCGAAUUUAAGUAAUAAAAUGAAAACAAUAUGUUCUAUUUUAAAACAUCAACAUCUGAGAAUGAAGAAAAACUGGUCAAUAGAUACUUAACUGAAAUGUGCUAAAUAAUGUUAAAUCACGGGACCUUUAGUGUGUGUAUAUAUAUAUAUAUACACACACGCACACUAAUUUGUUAGAAAAGAAAAAAAUCUUAACAGACGUUAGAUACAUAAUUUAAUUUUUUUUAAAGAACUACAAACAUAAUAAAUAACAAAAAGGUGAUUAGCCCUAUAUUAGAUUAUGAAAAUUGUUAAAUACGCUAAACAUAAAGGUUGCCAUAAUUCAAUUAUAUGAAACAACUUAGAAUUCUCCAAACUUGUUUACAAACCUUAAAAAGGCUCAUAAUAAUCAUCCUGUAUGAGAAUAAAAUAUUACUCUGCGGACAAAUUGCAUAUACAACAGCUGGAUUUAUAGAUUACUCCAAGAAUCAUAUGAAAUGCACUUUAAUCAUCAUUAAUAAUAUGGCACGUAGGGAUGUCAACGGGUCGGAUUUGGGUCGGGUUUUUAAAAACCCGAAUCUGAACCUGAAAAUCAAAUUAAAACCCGUACUCGGAUCCGAACCCGACGGGUUUAAAAAUCCAUACCCAUAUCCGUACCCGACCAAAAACCCGAAACCCGAACCCGUACCCGGAUCCGGCAGGUUUUAAAAAUCCAUACCGUUGAAUGAAGAUCUCAGGGAUAAAAAUUAUUAAAUAUUUUAUAUAUUAUAUAUAUAAAUAAAAUAAAGUGUGUGUAUAUAUAUAAUCUAUUCGGGUUCGGGUUCGGGUUGGGUUCGGAUUUGGGUCGGGUAAAUACAAAAUCCAUUCCCGUAUCCAUAUACGUCGGAUUUUUAUUUUCUAUACCCAUAACCAAAUCCAUACCCGUUUAGCUCGGGUAAACUCGCCCCGUUCGGGUUCAGAUUCGGAUAAUAUUUCGGGUAUCCAUACCCAUUGACAUCCCUAAUAGCACACAUAAUUACAUAGCUUAGUAAUGCUUUCAGUCCACUGUUUGCUUCAUAAAUAAAUAACAAAUUAAGAAAUUGUAAAUUACUUAUUGAUGUGCAAAACAAAAUGAAAACUCAAAUUGAUAUUAUCAAAACAUCUUUCACCUCACGUACAACUGUAAAAUAUUGAAAAUUGAUUUUGUAAGAAUGUUUAGUGGUCCUGUAAAAGCCAUUAUUCUGCCCCACUCUAAAUUGGUUGAUCACAUAAACUUUUUCUUCCGUAAAUAGGCCUUUAAAUUUGUACAGGAAAGCUCUUCUUACCGUUGCAUGUAUCCUAUCUCCGUAAAAUAAAAAAUAAAACAAUUAUGUAGUAUCUUUUAGUAAAAACAAAACAAGUAAUAUUUCAGCAAAUAAAAGUUGUAGAUCCUAAAAAUUAUAAGCACUCUCAAGUUAUCAUUUCCUAUUUGACGUGCAUCAUAUAACACAGAACAUUAAUAUGCCUUCAAUAUUGGUUUAAUCAACUGAAAUUCAACAAUGCAUGUUUAAUCAACUGAAGUUCACAUUUAUAAUGUUGCAAGUUUCAAUUCCAGAAUAUUCAUACAUAAAUACUAAAAUUUAAUUAUCUUCAUGUCAGUAUAAGUAACGAAAUAUCACAAUUGACAACAAAGAAAAACUAAGUAGCGAUAGUAGGGACUCAUGUUAUAUGAAAACGUAUGUUCAAUUUUAAAAUAACAAUCGUAUCUUAAAUUUUGAUAAGACCAACUCUAGGUUAUUCACCAUCUUUGAACGAUAAAAUUCAGGUAUAGUAUACAGACAAAUCACUCUGACUUUGAUCUUCCAUUUGUCUCCAAGAGAAGUGAUGCAUGCCACUUAUAGAAUCAAACCCAGGUACCAUAUCCUGAAAACAGUAAAACAUUCAAGAAAAAAAUGUUAGUACUUGCUUCAUAUUUAAGUAUCUAUAACUAUAUAUUAUUCCUCAAUAACUGCACACGUGUCGCGAGGAGGACGCGGCGUGGGCGAGGGCGCGGGUGUGCGUGACGGGGGCGGGAGGGUUCGCGGCGUCGUGGGUGGUGAAGCUGCUCCUCUCCAAUGGCUACAUCGUCCAUGGAACUGUCAGAGACCCAAGUGAGUUUCUUUUCUUUUUUACUUUUUUUAACUCAUCUGGGGAUUUAUUUAUUUAUUUAUUUAUUUAUUUUGGGUUAAAUUAAUUGUGUGAAGAGUUAAGAAGACUAAUCUAGGGAUUCGAUCGAUUUUCGACUCUGCUUGGACGUCAGAAUAAGUCGUGCUUAUAAGAAUUUAUAUAUUUAUUGUGCGAGUUAGAGACAAAAAGCUUGAUUCGUAAUUUUGAUGAAAUAAUAUAUUUCACCUAAGUAUUAAUUAAGUUUAUUUUAUUUAAAAAAUAAAAAUAAUAAUUUUUUUAAAAAAAAAAUAGAUUUUUUGUCGGUACUUUGCGUUUACGGAAUACUAAAAAUAUAUACAGGGGCAUCUAAACGGAGCCCUGAAAAAUAUGAUAUCAGAGCCGGUCCUAAUUCUAGAACCCUUAGUUUCAAGGAGGUUCUGAGUUUGCUUUUUACAUCCGUCAUUUUAUGACAUAUGCCACAGCAGUAGGCAGAUAUGGGCAGAUCCCGCUCAGCGAUAGUGUGGGCGACCAGAUCAAAGAGAGGGAGGACGGACCGCGCGAUAAAAAGAGAACGCGACAUGUAAUCCCAAUUAGAGCUGAACUUUUAAUAUGUCUAUCGAUAAUCGUGCCUAUUUGUCCUAUUAGUUCAUUGUCUUUUCCCGUUAUCUCUUCGGUGCACAAGAGAAAAUAUCCGGCGUGCAUGGGAGUGUGGGGAUUAAGACUAAUAUUAGGAUUCGAUAUCCUCAACUUUUCUUUUCUUUGCUUUUUCUUUUUCUUUUUUUUUUUUUCUUUUUAUUGUUUUCGAUUGUAGCUAGUUCCUGCUUAAUUUGUUUGUUUUUUAAAAUAGCUUAAAUCAAAAAGGAUGAAAAGUUUGUUUAGAAGAUGCCAAAUGGAAAGAAAAAUAGUUGAAGGGUAUAUUUCAAAAGUAGCCAUCUUAUUCUAUUACAAUCUCACAGGGCUCUGUCUUUAGGCUGUUGGACAAGUAAAAUACUGCAACAUGUUCUUGAUGGGUCAAGAGACUCCUUUUAACCAAAGCAACAAAAAAAAAGAAAAAAGAAAAAGAAAAAAAAAGAAGAGGAACAACAGAAAAGUUGUAGAUUGAAGCUUUUAGAGAACAAUAAUUGUUUCGUAUUAUUUAACAUGGUAUCAGAGAACGGGGUCCUUGUCUGACUCAUAAUGUUAAUUAAGUUUCUCCCAUUUAAAUUAAGUUUACGUCUAAGGUAAUCAAAAAAGCCUCGAGCUAAGAUGUGAUUGGGAGUGCUGAAUAUAAAUAUUAAAAAUGUCGUUCCCUAAUAGCUUAAAUUUUUGGAGAAUAAUGAUUGUUUCAUAUAAUUUAACAGAUAGAAUUGAUUGUUUCUUUUCACAUACAUAGUGAUAUGCAUUUUGAGUCCAAGGUGUAUCAAUAUUUAGCUAGGUGCGCAUUUGAUCUUGCAUAUUUUGUUUUAUGUUUGUUAUUCUAUUUUGAACUUUAUGCAUCUAUGCUGCUACAUACUUAGUGAGCUUGUAACUGUUGUUUGCAUCUUAUUCUGUCUGAUGCUCUUCCAUACUUACCAUUAGUUAUUGCCCAAAUUGUUGUAGAUGAUGAGUCAAAGAAUGCCCAUUUGAAGAAAUUGGAGAAUGCUUCAGAAAACCUGCAACUCUUUAAGGCAGACUUACUUGAUUAUAACAGUGUAGCAUCUGCUAUUGCGGGCUGCAAAGGUGUCUUCCAUGUUGCUAGCCCUUUGCCUGCAUCCAAAGCUCCCAAUCCGGAGGUAUAUAUGAUUUGUUGCUUAGUUGCUUUUGUUAGCUGCGUGCUUCAUUAUAUUGCCAUGCAAACUUUAUGAACGUAUGAGUCGCUACACAAGCUCUCACAUGCCAAGUUAGUACGGCAUCGGCAUAUUUGUCACCUGUAGUCUGUAGGUCCAAUCUCAUCUGCUAGCGCUUAUUAGUUGCUUGGUCCGGACGCAUUCAUCGAUUUGAUCUUUUACUGCUGCUAUAGUGUGAUUGAUAGUAUAGGUUGAUCAACAGCUUGUUUUGGCCAAAAUAUUGAUUUCAGAGGAAACCGCUUAAUUAAUGUUGUCGUAGAAACCACUCGCAUGCAUUAAUAUAUCGAAGGCUCACGGAAUGGACAAGUAAGGUAAGCAAUGGGAUACUACCCAUUGAAUUUUAUUAUGAGUGGUGAUUUCACCCAUAAGAUAUAUGUAUGGUGGGAAUUGAACACCACAUUUCAGAUAAUAGAAGGGGCUUAUAUAUGGCUCCGACAUCAUGUUACCUGAAAGAUCGAUUGUAUAGGAUGCGUCCUUGGAAUUGUCUUAAGAGCUAGCAUCAUGUACUCCGUGUUUUUUCAUUCGUUGUUUUAUUCAUUUAUCUAAUAUUCACCUCUCAUUGGAAGGGACUUGAUGUUCUAAUCGAGCGUAGUUAGAUCACGUGCUUUUAACUUUGCAUUUCCGUAUUGCAGGAAGAAAUACUGAAGCCUGCUGUGGAUGGCACUCUAAAUGUGUUGAAAGCAUGUGCUGAGGCAAAAGUCAGGCGAGUUGUUGUGGUAUCAUCAUGUGCGGCUGUUCGAGCGAACCCAAAUUGGCCAAAGGGUAAGAUCAUGGAUGAGAAUUGUUGGUCGGACAAGGACUACCGCAGAAAUACUGAGGUAUCUGGCAAGCCUUUCUAGUGUACUAGUCUGAUUUUUUUUCUAAAGACAGUUGUUGAAAUUAUUCAGUAUUUACUUAUUAUUAUAUUCUGCGCACCACAUGCUUGAAGUCUGUCUGUUUUUUAUAUAUGAGAAUGUUAAAGUACUCCCUUGUUUUGCUGCACUUAGUUACAUGCCUUCUGUUAUGUAGUUGAACUGUCAUGUUGUAACUAUAACCGAGAACCAAUCAUCCUUUGUUGCAAGGUUAUCUACUUCGUGUUGAUAGCAUCUUUUCUAUAUUAAUUUUGUCACGAAUUAAUCAUCUUUAUUGUGCUCUCCAUUAAAUAAUUGUGAAUUCGUGCUCUUCUAUUUAUGUAGAUCUUCUCUACAUCUUCUGGGACUAUAUAAACAUAAACGUCCUGCACGUACCUUCACUUUGUUCAUCCUAGAGUUCCCUUCAUGUAAAUAAGAAUGUACGUACAUGUACAUAUAUGUAGUCUGGUACCGUUUGGUUCGGGUAUAAGCAAGAACUAGCUAUUAUAGGGAUAGGUACAAGUAUGGGGAUAAGAAAAAUAGCGUUUGGAUGAAAAUUGGGUUGUUCCCGAGGAUAAGAAAAAUAUUAGAAAGUUUUAUAUAGAAAAUCGAGGUGUUGGUGGGGAUAACCGAGAACUACUAUUCUCGGGUAAAAAAUUAGCGUUUGGGUAUAAAGGGGGGGAUAAGGGCCUAUCCCUAUCCCUAUUCCCAAACCAAACGGUGCUUUAAUUAGGAACAAGAACAACAAAGCUUUCUCCUGCAGUACUGUACUUGGACAUUCUCUGAAAAAGAUGAAUAGGUGGGUAGGUACUAUUCUGCACUUGUAUAUGUUAAAAACCUAACUACCGAGGAAGAGUACUUAUUGAGAUCAUUCCAUACUAAGAUAGAGCAAGGAUUUCCAAGCCAUCUGCGUUAGACACGGGGCAGAAUGUUUCACUGGUAAUGAAGUAUCGGUAUGAUACAAGUCUCUUCAGGAUAUGGUUUAAAAUCAUUUUUUUUCCACUGUUUUCAGCAAAAGGGUUCGAUGUUUCUAUCCAAAUAUGUACUCUACAAUUCAUACAUUUGAAUGAUUUGAGUUGCUAUCGAGUUGAAGUUGGCCUAGCCUGACAUUAGGUAACUUGCGAAUGCUUAAGGUCUCUGACUUGAAUGCUACUGAUUUAACGACUGUUUCGGGCAGUACAGCGAACUACUCAGCAUCUUAAUUUGGUUGAAAUGAAGUGUUUUGAUCCCAUUAGGUCCAGCAUGGUCCGGUCAAAUUAGAUAUAACAUUCCUAGUAGAAGAUUCUUGAUAACGUAGGAAACAGUGGAGAUGAAGAAAGUGGCUCUUAUGUCAGGUUCUCCGCCUUUGUUACGAUAGUUAUGAACAUAAUUACAAUAUCAGAUGAGCCACAGAAGAAUAUACGGAAAAUGUGAGGAAGUAACUACCUCAUACGGAAGUUUGGUCUUGUAAGGGGUGUUGGGCAUGAUUUUGGCCCAAGAGUGCGUGAUUCUAGCCAAGGUAAAGCACCGGGCUUAUUUAUUGAUUCGAGUCAAGUGUUCUAGUCCUAGUAUUUAGGCUUACAGAAAAAAAAAAAGAAAGCCCCAGUGCAAACUUUACAGAAAAUGUUAGCUCAAGCACGCCUUAAUGCGGCAAACUCCUAAAUGAAUUGGCCCUUCAACAAGUUGGGUUUCUUGGCCUUCUGCCAUUAGACCACUUGCGCCAAUCCAGUCUUUUGGCCUUCCUGGCACGCUGAAUUAUAUCGUGCUCUUUUCUAUCUCAUACUGCUUCAACUCUCUGGUUUUUAUGCUUUAUUUUUGUUGGACUUUUCUUAGUUGAUAUUCUUUCUAUUCCAUAUUUGCGUAUGCUAAAUGUUGUCUGUACUUCCCGGCGCAUUAAAUGUUGUUUGUACUUACUAGCCAGAUUAUUAUGAGGAAUUUCAAUUGUUACUUAAUGAUGUUAUCAGAACUGGUAUGCCCUAUCGAAGAUUCUCGCAGAGAGUGCGGCGUUGGAUUUUGGAGAGAAAAAUGGGCUUGAUGUUGUAACUGUUUGCCCAUGUUGGAUUAUGGGGCCUAUGCUGCAAUCCACUGUAAAUGCUAGCACUUCUAUUUUCGUGAAUCUUCUAAAAGGUAUAGAUGUUAUAAUGAGAUUAUCUCAGUUUAAUUUCAGCUAUGAUGGCAUAGUACAGGUUGCUAAUUGGAUCCACAAUUUUAUAUAUUGCAAGGAGCACUGAGUAUUUGAAUUCCCGUCACUUACGCAACUGUGCUUAUCGCUUUGAAGUUACUACAAUGUUUUCCAAAACAUUUUUCGACCUCAUGUCCUUCCUAUCUUAGUCCCCCUCUCAUCAUCUUCUAACAUUUUCUUUUUCUUUUAAUUUGUGUCGAAAAAAUAUGCACCAUUAACUAGUUAUAAUAGUUACAAUGGGAUUAUGGGUAUUAUUGUUACUGAAACUUUUUAUUGCCAUCUAUUUUAGCAGGCAAUGACAAUGAUAGUUGUCGUGGAAUUUGCCCCUCACUAUACAUUUAAGAUUAUGAACAUAUGCUGCAUAUUUGAUUUCGUCGGUAUCCUCCUCUAGGAUCAAGUGAGACGAUACAGAACAAAGCCCUCGACAUUGUGGAUGUUCGAGACGUCGCCAGUGCUCUGCUUCUGGCGUACGAGAAACCUGAGGCGUCGGGACGGUGCAUAUGCGUCUCGCACCAUAUAAAAACGCGUGAUCUGAUAGACAUGCUAAAGAGGAUGUAUCCCGACUACAACUACCCAAAGAAGUAAACCCAGGCUUGAUCAUGAUCAUCAUGUCACAUAUUUGCUUCCUGCUCCUACGAAUUUUCGCUUCUUUUACUUUUCUUUAUUGUAUAAAUCGCAGCAUUGUCGAAGUAGAUAACGAUGAAGAGACGUAUAGUUCCGAGAAAUUGCAGAAGCUGGGCUGGAAAUUCAGGCCACAGGAGGAGACCCUCAGGGACAGUUUUGAGUGCUAUAAAGCUGCAGGUCUUCUGGAAUAGGAGGAUUAAAAGAGUUUCUUCUCUCAAUGAGUCAUAUUCAAAAGUCUCUCUUUUAUAUUUCCCAAAAAAUAUGCAACAAACAAUGAGUGUGACAAAAUAAUGGUUUCAAUUUGUUGUAAAACUUGUUAAAUACUCGGAUUCUUGGUUGCUUUUAAGCUUUGUUACCAUGUGUAUUUGCAGCUGAGGUCAAUUAAAAAGGGAACAAAAUAUUAUACAUGUUGGAAUAAUCUCUUGUGCUCCUAGCUUCAUGCUGAUCCAUAUUAGGCUUAGUUUGGUAUUGAGAUCAAUCCAAUGCUAUUCGAUAGAAUGGAGUUGAGAAAAAGCAUAUAGUGAUAUGCUUCUGCGUUUUCCGAUGGGACCGUAGAAAAUGUAUCGUAACCGACUAACCGCAAUAUAAAACAAACAGUAUUUUUUCAUCCUCGUUUCUCACUGCACGUAACGCAAUCUCCUCGCAAUCCCAAACGAAACCUUAGUUUGUGACAUUAUUAUCGCUAGUCAAGUCAAAGACUAAGGUUUCGCUUGAGAUUGCGAGGAGAUUGCGUUACAUAUGAAAAAUAUUCUGGUUGUUUCUGUACGUAAUAUUGCGUUCCGCAUAUCGCGAUGAGUCGAUUACGAUAUAUUUCUGCGGUCGCAUCGGAGAACGCAGAAGUAUAUCCCUAUAUACUUUUAUCCCAACUCUAUUUUAUCUAAUAGCAUCAUGUAAGUCUCAAUACCAAACUAAACCUAAGAUUUCAAACUGGGCUGAACUUUUCCAUCUCUCCAAUAUUUUGGAGUUGUGGGGCUGAGAUUAAUCCACCUAAUAAUACCUUGUUAAAUAAAUUAUUUAAUUACGACUGCUCAAUUAGGGGAUUUAGAUUGGUUUAAUGAAUUGUCAAUGAGCAAUAUACGGCUUUUGUUGAGAAACCAAAAGUGGUGAUAUAACAUAUCUUAAAUUAUUAAUCCAGUACACUGAAUCUUGUUACCAAGAGCCGUUCGAUUCUUUUAAAGUGAUCAGUGGUUGUCAAUUUUUUAUGAAAAAGUCUUUUUUUCAUCUUUCUAAUUUUUUUUAUCUGAAAAUUAAAAAUUAUAGAAAGUGUGUUUUUCAUUAAAAAUAAAAAACACUUUUUGAAAUAUACUUUUUUGCAGAAGUGCCCAUCUUUUUCACAUGAUCUUCUUUAGUACGUUGUUCAAGCACAAUGUAUUUCACAACAAAACAAAAGAGUUUAAUAAUAGAUAUAUUUAUAAUAGUCGCGUUAAUUUUACAUCCUGAAUUUUGUAUGUCUUUAUAUAUAAUAAUAUAAAUAUAUAUAUAUAUAUAUAUAGUAUAUAUAUAUAUAUAUAUAUAUAUAAUAUAUAUAACUAUGGCUUAUCAAAUUUUUCUGUUCAUCACUAAACUCGAAAAGUUUUUGUAAAUUCUUAAAUCCAAAAGUGUAAAAUUUAUAAUCUGAUAUAGGGUGUAUCGACAGCAUUUUGGUUUCUAAUUAAGCAUUUUGGUCUCAAAAUUAUCAAUCUUGAGACCUUUUGAUCACUAGCCAAAUGAUAUCAAAAAAUUAUAAAAUUUAAUUUUCAAAUACUUUUAAUAGUGUAGGUUAAGUCUAACGGAGCCGAUCGUCGAUUUAGAAGCCGCAUCAUUGAAAACAACUUGGUAGCACACAGGCCUCCGUGCUACCCAGUUGUUUUCAAUGAUGCGGCUUCCAAAUGGACGAUCGAUUCCGUUAAACUUGAUCUAUACUAUUUAUAUUCGAGUUAUAUCGAACUGAACACGAAAGAGCUGAUUUUAGCUCGUGCUCGACUCAUUAAGAUUCCGAGCUGAAAAAUUCAGGUAGUAUUCGGCUGUAUAUUAUAUAAAUUCAAGUUAUAUUAAGCUAAACACAAUUAUACACAUUCAAGUUCAACUAAAACGAGCACGAUUUGUUAUAUAACGUGAUCGUGUUGUUAAGAUUUCGUAGUAAAAAGUUCAACUAAAAUGAACGAUCGGUCUCAAGCUUUUUUUCAAAUCGAGUACAAGCUGCUUGGCAAAAACUAUGUCAAAUAUAAAAAUAUUUAAAUACUAUUUUCUAUCGACUUAAACUUCAGUGUUUGGUUAGGGGAUAGGGAUAGGGAUAAACCCUUAUCCCUUUUAUAUCCAAACAUUAAUUUUUUACCCGAGAAGAGUAGUUCUCGAUUACCUAUAAUAACCGGUUAUAACUAUCCCCCACCAACAUCUCUAUUUUUUAUAUAAAACUAUCUAAUAUUUUUCUUAUUCCAUAUUAUCUAUCCAAAUGCUAUUUUUCUUAUCAACGGAAACAACCCAAUUUUCAUCCAAACGUUAUUUUUCUUAUCCCCAUACUUGUACCUAUCCUGUAAUAAUUAGUUCUUGCUUAUAUCCGAACCAAACGGUAAUAUAAAUAUUAUUUCACAAAACACAUGAGUUCUAGCGCAGCCAUAUAUAAUAGGCAGCCUGCUCAAUGCCAAGUCUAGCCUCAUUAAGAAAUUUUUUUUUCCAAUCUAGCCUGCUUUUCAAAAAAUCCCUAAUUUAGCCUCUUUUUGGUAGAUUAAAAAACAAAAGAUGACUUAAUAGUAUUUAUAUGCAAAUUAGGAGAGAGAAAAAUUUUUCACUCUCCUCCCAACCUACUAAUAUUUAAAAAUAAUUAAUUUUUAUUAUAAUAAUAAUUAAAAAAUUAAUAUUUAAUAAUAAUAAAUGUUAUUAUUACUAAAUGUUUUUUUGAGAGAGAAAGAUAGCAGCAUACUACUCGCUUCAUUUAUUUCGUUUAAAAAUAAUCUUAGCUAGAAAUGUGAAUCAACUAUAAUUCAAACUUAGAAUCUCAAGUACCAACCAUCGAUUCCUUUGUCACUUACACUAGGAACAAUUAAUUACUAAAUAAUAAUUAUUAGGGUUAUUUGCAUACAGGUCCCUGUAAACAUAGUGAAUUGCGGAAAUAUCCCUGCAAAACGGAAACUCCAUAAGUUGUCCCUGCAAAAGUCCUAAGUUAUGCAGAUAUGUCCCUGCCGUCCAGAUCUGUUAGAAAUUUUUCGUUAAUCACGGUUAAAAUACUUAACCGUGGUUAAUUAUAGUGUAAAUUGACGUAUUUACCCUUCUUCCUCUUCCUCCUCUUCCUCUUCCUUCUUCUUCGUCGCCGGCGAGGAGAUGCUGCGGCGGCGGCGACGGCGGCGGCGGCGACGGCGGCGGCGGCGGCGACGACGAACCCUCUUACUUUUCCUCUUCCCUCUUCCUCUUUUCCCUUCUUUUUCCUUCUUCUUUCUUCCUCUUCCUCUUCCAUCUUCUUCGUCACCGGCGAGGGAGAAGAGUCUCGUCGGGGUCGGCCUCCGAAAGGCGGGCGAGAAGCUCGAGGGCGUUGUUGUCAACAAGGGCGGCGACGAGGGCGUGCGCGGGGUCGUCGUGGUCGCCGAGGACGUCGGUGUCGGUGAGGUCGGUGAGGAGGGAGACGACGUCGACGGCGAUGUCGGCGAUGUCGUGGCCGAGGAGGCCAACGAGGGAGAGGACGGCGUUGAGGGCGACGAGCUCCGGGUAGAGAGCUCCGGUGCCCCGGCGUUCUUCCCUCUUCUUCGUCGCCGGCGAACCCGACCCCGCGCCGCCGCCGCCGUCGUCCGCUUCGAUGAUCCGAAGAGGAAGAGAAAGAGAAGGGAAGAGGAAAACUUUUGGAGGGAUAUAUUUGUGAGGGUAAAAUGGUCAUUUCACGAAUCCACUGUUAAAAAAUAAACAGAUCACUAACGGAUGUUAACCGGAGGGACAUAUCUGCAUAACUUAAGACUUUUGCAGGGACAACUUAUGGAGUUUCCGUUUUGCAGGGAUAUUUCCGUAAUUGGCUAUGUUUGCAGGGAGCUGUAUGCAUUUGACCCUAAUUAUUAUAAUUAUUAUUUUUAUUAUUAGUAUCUAAUUUGACUAUACAAGCUAAUAUGAUCAAAUUUGACAUGUAUAGUCAAUUAAAUACUAAUAAUAAUAAAUUAAUAAUAAUAAUAAUAAUAAUAAAAUUAUCAAUAAGUACUAAUAAUAUUGUUAUACGUUAUUAUUAAAUAUUAAAAUUUAAUUAUUGUUUUUUUUAAAUAUUGUUAUAUGUUAUUAUUAAAUAUUAAAAUUUAAUUAUUAUUAUUUUUUUUGAGAGAUAGAUAGCACGCUACCUGUUUUGCUUAUUUCAUUUAGAAAUAAACUUAACCAGAAAUGUGAAUCAACUAGGAUUCGAAAUUGGGUCUCGAGUACCAACCAUCAAAUCAUUUGCCACUUACUCUAGGGACGGUCAGUAAUUAUUGUUAUUAUUAUAAAAAUUAAUUAUUUUUAAAUAUCAGUAUGUUGAGACUUGAGAGGAAAGAGAGAGAACAUUUCCCUCUCCUCUGCUAUUUUCUAACCCAUCAAAAGAAAGGCUAGAGUAGAAAUUUUUUUUUGAAAAAAAAAAAUGCUAAGAUUGAAUUUUUUUUUUUUUUGUUUGGGAAAACUUCAAAAACCCCCUCUGUGGUUUCGUAGUUUCUAACUUUGCCACCAUGUGGUUUAAAAUGUAUCAAUACGCCCCCUGUGGUUUCUUUUUUCUUUUUUUCAUAUCAAUUUUAUUUUUUUUUUUCUUAAAUCAAUGAUAAAGUUAAAAUUAAAGGGUACUAAAGUGAAUAUUUGAUAAAUCUAGAUGAAUAUCUAAAGUUUUUUAUAUAUAAUUAAUAAAAUAUUAACGAAAAAGCUACCGAAAAGAUAAAAUUAAAACCACAGAAAGGCAAUUUGAUAUAUUUUAAAUCACAGGGGAUGAAGUGAGAAACUAUGAAACCACAUGGUUUUUUUUGAAGUUUUCCCCUUUUUUUUUCAACAAUGCCAGAUAUGGCAUUAGUUCCUCUUCCACACUCCACUAGAGACAGUGAGACAGAGUUCUCAGAAACCACCAAAGCGAACGACGAAUCCCUCCAUUGCUAUGAUAUGAUAAUAUAUAUAUAUAUAUAUAGAGAGAGAGAGAGAGAGAGAGAGAGAGAGAGAGAGUGUGUGUGUGUGUGUGGAGAGAGAGAGAGAGAGAGAGAGAGAGAGAAGAGAAGAGAAGGCGAAGAAGAGAGGGAGAAGGAGACCAUGGCGGCGGCGGCGGCGAUUGGGGAGGGGAAGGGGAAGGAGAGGGUGUGCGUGACGGGGGCGGGAGGGUUCGCGGCGUCGUGGGUGGUGAAGUUGCUCCUCAACAAUGGCUACAUCGUCCAUGGAACUGUGAGAGACCCAAGUGAGGGUUUUUUUUAACUCUUUUCUUUUUUUAGUUUCAUAAGAAAUUCGAUCUAACUUCAUCUGGGGCUUGAUUGAUUGAUUGAUUGAUUGAUGGAUUGACCUUGGUUAAAUUGUGCGAUGCGUUAAGACUAAUCUAAGGAUACGACAUUAUUUUUUUUUUGACUCUGUUUGAACGUCAGGAUAAGCCGUGCGUAUAAGAAUUUCCAUUUAUUGCGUGAUUAGAAGCAAAAAGUUGAAUUCGUAAUUUAUUUUAUUUAAAAAAUGACUUCAAGUUCGGAUAUAAUACUUUCUUUCUAAAUGAAUUUUUAAUCACACUUCGCGUCUAUCAAAUAUCUUGUGUAAAUAAAAGAGAUAUAUUGGUUGAGAUACAAGGGCGUCCAAACUGGGCCCUGAAAAAUAUGGUAUUAGGGCCAGUUCUAGACUUCCUCAUUCUCUAAUAGCUUAAGCUUUUGAAGAACAAUAGCUGUUUAGUCCAGAAUGCUAUCAAUAAUCAGCGAUGCAUUUUGUCUGUGCAUAUUUUGUUUCAUGUGUGUAUUUUGAUUUUCAAUUUAUGUAUCAAUUCUGCUGAAUAUAUAUUUGUACUCCAGCUGGUAUACUCUUAUAAGUACGAUCGCCUUCGUACUCAUAAGUCGUUUUUUAUGAUGGAACUUUCGAAUCAACGAUUCAUAUCGUUAAAUAUGAUUUAGAGCAUUUGAAAUUUCUAGAAAUCAAAUUUUAUAAUUUUUCGAUGUUCAUUUACCUUAUGAUCAAAAGAUCUCAAAAUUGAUAAUUUUUACGGCCGGUAUGGGAUACUUGCUAGUUCAACGAUGCAAAAGAAUCGAAAAUGAUUGAAAUUUUGAUCGAAAAUUCUAUUCAUUAUCUAGAUAAAGGUCAAUAACUCCGAUCUUAAAUUGAAGGAUCGAUCAUCCAUUUUUAGGAGGUAAUUUAAUUUUGACCGUUCAUUUAUACCUGCUUAAUGUACUUUAUUAUGAUUUUGAAAAAUUAUAAAAUUCAUUUUCUUGAAGUUUAAAAUUAAUCUAAAUUAUAUUUAAUAGUGUGGAUCGUCGAUUUGGAAAUUCCAUCAUUAAAAAUAACUUACAAAGACAAAGAGCUAGCCUAACUCUCUCUCUCUCCCUCUCUCUCUCUCUCUCUCUCUCUCUCUCUCUAUAUAUAUAUAUAUAUAUAUAUAUAUAUAUGUAAGCUAACUGUUGUUUGCAUCUUAUCCUGCCUGAUGCUCUUCCAUACUUACCCUUAGUUACUGCACAAAUUGUUCUAGGUGAUGAAUCAAAGAAUGCCCAUUUGAAGAAAUUGGAGAAUGCUUUAGAAAACCUGCAACUCUUUAAGGCAGACUUACUAGAUUAUAACAGUGUAGCAUCUGCUAUUGCGGGCUGCGAAGGUGUCUUCCACGUUGCUAGCCCUGUUCCUGCAUCCAAAGUUCCCAAUCCGGAGGUACGAUUUGUUGCUUCGUUGCUUCGUUGCUUUCACAUGCCAAAUUAGUAUUGCAUCGGCAUAUUUAUCGCCUGUACUUGUAUAUGUUAGGCUCUGCCCUACGAGUUGAAGGUCUUUGUAAAAGGAAAAGGUGACAAUGAAAUGCUCGAACACGGGUUUUUUAAACCGAUUAUUUAUUGUCCUACCAACUUGUCUUACCUCCUCCUUCCUUUGGUGCCUAGUCUAUAGGUCCAAUCUCAUCUGCUAGCGCUUAUUAGUUGCUUGGUCUGGACGCAUUCAUCGAUUUGAUCUUUUACUACUGCUAUAGUGUGAUUGCGUGCUAAGAGUCUACUGUAAGGCUAUGGAGUGAGGUGCUUUGAUAGUGUAGAUUGAUCAAUAGCUUGUUUUGGCCGAAAAAUCAAUUUGAUAGGAAACAACUCAUUGUUGUCAUAGAAUGCACCCCCGUGCAUAAAGGUACCGAAGGCUCACAGAAUGGACAAGUAAGGUAAGAAACGGGAUACUACCAAUUGAAUUUUAAUAUGGGGAUUUCAACCAUAAGAUAUGUGUAUGGGUGUUGAACUCACAUGUCAAAUAAUUUAUGGGGCUUAUAUAUGGCUCCGACAUCUUGUUACCUGAAAGAUCGAUUGUAUAGGAUGCGUCCUUGGAAUUGUCUUAAGAGCUAGCAUGAUGUACUUUGUGUUUUUUAAUCCAUUAUUUUAUUUGUUUAUCUAAUAUUCACCUCUCAUUGGAAGGGACUUGAUGUUCUAAUCUAGUGUAGUUAGAUCACGUGCUUUUAACUUUGCAUUUCCGUAUUGCAGGAAGAAAUGCUGAAGCCUGCUGUGGAUGGCACUCUAAAUGUGUUGAAAGCGUGUGCUGAGGCAAAAGUUAGGCGAGUUGUUGUGGUAUCAUCAUGUGCGGCUGUUCGAGCGAACCCAAAUUGGCCAAAGGGUAAGAUCAUGGAUGAGAAUUGUUGGUCAGACAAGGACUACUGCACAGAUACUGAGGUAUCUGGCAAGACUUUCUAGUCUACUAGUUUUUACCGUGCUAAAUUUAUUUUAAAGACAGUUGUUGAAAUUAUUUAGUAUUUUCUUAUUAUUAUGUUCUACACACUGCAUGCUUGAAGUCUGUCUGUUUUUUAUACAUGAGAAUGUUUAAGUAUUCCUUGUUUUGCUGCACUUAGUUACAUGCCUUCAGUUAUGUAAUUGAACUGUCAUGUUGUAAUAAUAAGCGAGAACCGAUCCUCCUCUGUUGCAAGGUUAUCCACUUCGUAUUGAUUGCAUCUUUUAUAUAUUAAUUUUAUCAGGAAUUAAUCAUCUUUAUUGUGCUCUCCAUUAAAUAAUAUGCUGAAUUUAUGCUUUUCUAUAUAUGUAGAGCUUCUCUGAAAAAGAUCAAUAUAGGUGGUAGGUGCUAUUCUGCACUUGUAUAUGUAAAAAACCAAUAUGAUAAGAUAGAGCAAGGAUUUCCGAGCCAUCUGAUUAGACACAGGGCCGAAUGUUUCUCUGGUAAUGAAAAUAUCGGCAUGAUACAAGUCUCUUCAGGAUAUGGGUUGAAAAUCAUUUUUUUCCACUUUUUCAGCUAAAACAGUUCAAUGUUUCUUUCCAAACGUGUAUUCUACAAUUCAUACAUUUGAACGAUUUGAUUUGAUAUAUUGAUGAUUGAUUUACAAAAAUGCCAACUCCCACAAUUUGUGAUCCUUGAUUCAAUGACUCCAAUUUCUUUAUAGAUUAGAGUAACUAGCAGUAUUUUUCAGGUUUAUUCAUUGCAAACAUCACAAAAAUUCAUUUGCAUGAAAAAAAAAAAAAUUCACUCUCCUCGAUAGGUUGGGUGCUCUUAGGGGUGUUAAGAUGUUGUGUUCAGUCUACAUCUAGUCGCCUGCUUGACUUGCAGUUGGCCUAGCCUGACAUCAGCUAACUUGAGAAUGCUUAAGGUUUCUGGCUUGAAUGCUACUGAUUUAACAACUGUUUUGGGCAGUACAGCGAACUACCCAACAUCUUAAUUUGGUUGAAAUGAAGUGUUUUGAUCCCAGUAGGUCCAGCAUGGUCAGGUCAAAUUAGAUAUAACAUUCCUAGUAGAAGAUUCUUGAUAACAUAGGAAACAGUGGAGAUGAAGAAAGUGGCUCUUAUGUCAGGAUCAUCGCCUUUGUUACAAUAGUGAUGAACAUAAUUACAAUACAAAGAUGAGGGACAGAAUAGUAUAUGGAAAAAGUGAGGAAGUAACAACUUCAUAAGGAAGUCUGGUCUUAUAGGGGGUGUUGGGCAUGAUUUUGGACCAAGAGUGCAUGAUUCUACCCAAGGUAAAGCACCAGGCUUAUUUAAUGAUUCGAGUCAAGUGUUCUAGUCCUAGUAUUUAGGCUUACAGAAAAAAAAAAAGAAAGCCCCAGUGCAAACUUUACAGAAAAUGUUAGCUCAAGCACGCCUUAAUGCGGCAAACUCCUAAAUGAAAUGGCCCUUCAACAAGUUGGGUUUCUUGGCCUUCUGCCUUUAGACUAGUGCCAGUCCAGUCUUUUGGCCUUCCUGGCACGUUGAAUUAUAUCGUGCUCUUUUUUGUUUCAUACUGCUUCCACUCUCCAGUUUUAUGCUUUAUUUUUGUCGGCCUUCUCUUAGUUGAUAUUCUUUCUAUUCCAUAUUUCCAUAUACUAAAUAUUGUUUGUACUUACUAGCCCAUUAAAUAUUUUCUGUAUUACCUGGCCAGAUUAUGAGUAAUUUCAAUUGUUACUUAAUGAUGUUAUCAGAACUGGUAUCGCCUAUCAAAGACGCUCGCAGAGAGUGAGGCAUUGGAUUUUGGAGAGAAAAAUGGGCUUGAUGUUGUAACUAUUUGCCCGUGUCUGAUUAUUGGACCCUUACUGCAAUCCACUGUAAAUGCUAGCAGUUCUCUUCUCAUCAAUCUUCUAAAAGGUAUAGAUUUUAUUAUGAGAUUAUCUUCGUUUACUAUCAGCUAUGAUGGAACAGUACAAGUUGAUAACUGGAUCAACAAUUUUAUAUAUUGCAAGGAGCACCGAGUAUUUGAAUUCCCGUCACUUGGUAAAAAAAAAUUUAUGCUGCAUAUCUGAUUUCAUUGGAAUCCUCCUCUAGGAGCAAGUGAGACGGUAGAGAACAAAGCCCAUCACAUUGUGGAUGUUCGAGACGUCGCCAGUGCUCUGCUUCUGGUGUACGAGAAGCCUGAGGCGUCGGGACGGUACUUGUGCGUCUCGCACCGUAUAAAAACGUGUGAUCUGAUAGACAUGAUAAAGAGGAUGUAUCCCAACUACAACUACCCUACAAAGUAAACCUAGGCUUGAUCAUCAUUUCACAUAUUUGCUUCUUGCUCCUGUGAAUUUACACUUAUUUAGCUUCUCUUCAUCAUAUGAAUUGCAGCAUUGUCGAAGUAGAUGAUGAUGAAGUGACGAUUAGUUCUGAGAAAUUACAGAAGCUGGGCUGGAAAUUCAGGCCACUGGAGGAGACCCUCAGAGACAGUGUUGAGUACUACAAAGCUGCAGGUCUUCUGGAAUAGAAGGAUUAAAAGAGAUUCAUAUUUCAAGUUCCCCUUUUACACUUUACAGAUAAUAUGCACUGUAUGUGGUUUAAUAAUAGUUUCAAUUGUCGGUUGCUCUUUAGCUUCACUUUCAUGCAUGUUCCUAGCUAAGGUCAAUUAAAAAAUGGAACAAAAUAUUGUACUUGAUUUGAAAUGUAGGAUGAGGUUUUCCUGAAAAAUAAUCUACUUCAUGCUGUGCAUAUCAGUAUGUAACAUUGUUGCUGCCUAACUAUUGUUGGAAGAGCUUCAAUUGGUGCUAUUUUAUAGAGAUUGAUUGAUUGAUUGAUUGAUUCCUUUUAAAAGGUUUGUAAUAUUCUCUCUACUUCAAGCAUGAAUUGUAUACUCAAGUGAUUUAACAACAUUGUUAAUCACUUUUUACCUUCCAAAAUUAGUAAACCCCAUUUGCUUAUCCACCCCAAUUUCAUGGGUGCAUGUUUGUAUCUGAUCGAUGGUGCAAAACUUUUGAACUCUUUAAGUGUAGUGAAAAAGUUAUUCUAAAUUCAACUUUUUGUUCAUUCAUUCGUUUUGAUAAAAGUUAUUUGCCUAAAAUAAAGUUUUAUCACUUCCGUUGCACGAUGUGCAAGAGUGCGAGGGGUUUAUAUAUGAUGAGCGCAUUAAAACUAAUUAUUAAGCUCCGUAGUUUGAGCUUAAUAAAUUAUUAGUGCUAGUUGGUCGACAAGGUCGUUAUAGUUUUCUACUUACAUAGUUACGCCAAAACAAAUAUAAAAAACUAUAGAUUAAUUUUAUAUAGAUUCCUGUAAAUAUAGUAAAUGACAAAUAUAUCCUUACAAAGUUUAAUUUUCAUAUGUUGUUUCUUUAAAAGUUUCGAUGUUUUCAAAUAUGUUCAUCUGGUUUAUUAUCGUCGGAAAAUUAUUUAUAUUUUUAAUUUUGCCAUCAUAAAUAUGUCCCUUCAAAAAUCAUAACAGUAUAAGUUUCUAGAUUUUAAGUUCGAAACUUUUAGUGACUUUAUGUUUCUAGCUGAGUUCAUUAAUUUAAAGGAUGAACAAAAUUGGAAAUUUUCUAUCUUUUUUAGAAAAAAUAAAUAAACAAACAAACACAGGUGUAAAAAAUAAAAUUGUAGUUUUAAACAUUUAUUUGUACAUGCUUCAUUACUUGUGAACCUGACAGCUAAUAUUUAAUAAUAAGUAGAGAGAGAGAGAGAGUGCGCGCGCAAGGGAGGAGGGAGUCUCCUAUGUCAUAUUUAGGACCUCUUUGGAUACACAGUAAAAUAUCUUCACGAAAUUUAUAAACUGUGGUUUCGGUCUAGAUAAAAUAGAGAAUUCUGCAACUCUAAAAAAUUUCACGGAUUCAAUUUUUAAACUGUUUGGAUACGCAUUGUACAAUUUCACAGGAUUUUUCUAAAUUUUAAGAUUAAAAGUUAAAAUUUAAAAUUUCAAAAAAAAUUUAAAAUUUAAAAUUUGANNNNNNNNNNNNNNNNNNNNNNNNNNNNNNNNNNNNNNNNNNNNNNNNNNNNNNNNNNNNNNNNNNNNNNNNNNNNNNNNNNNNNNNNNNNNNNNNNNNNNNNNNNNNNNNNNNNNNNNNNNNNNNNNNNNNNNNNNNNNNNNNNNNNNNNNNNNNNNNNNNNNNNNNNNNNNNNNNNNNNNNNNNNNNNNNNNNNNNNNNNNNNNNNNNNNNNNNNNNNNNNNNNNNNNNNNNNNNNNNNNNNNNNNNNNNNNNNNNNNNNNNNNNNNNNNNNNNNNNNNNNNNNNNNNNNNNNNNNNNNNNNNNNNNNNNNNNNNNNNNNNNNNNNNNNNNNNNNNNNNNNNNNNNNNNNNNNNNNNNNNNNNNNNNNNNNNNNNNNNNNNNNNNNNNNNNNNNNNNNNNNNNNNNNNNNNNNNNNNNNNNNNNNNNNNNNNNNNNNNNNNNNNNNNNNNNNNNNNNNNNNNNNNNNNNNNNNNNNNNNNNNNNNNNNNNNNNNNNNNNNNNNNNNNNNNNNNNNNNNNNNNNNNNNNNNNNNNNNNNNNNNNNNNNNNNNNNNNNNNNNNNNNNNNNNNNNNNNNNNNNNNNNNNNNNNNNNNNNNNNNNNNNNNNNNNNNNNNNNNNNNNNNNNNNNNNNNNNNNNNNNNNNNNNNNNNNNNNNNNNNNNNNNNNNNNNNNNNNNNNNNNNNNNNNNNNNNNNNNNNNNNNNNNNNNNNNNNNNNNNNNNNNNNNNNNNNNNNNNNNNNNNNNNNNNNNNNNNNNNNNNNNNNNNNNNNNNNNNNNNNNNNNNNNNNNUUUAAAUUUUAAAUUUUAAAUUUUAAAUUUUAAAUUUUAAAUUUUAAAUUUAAAAAAAAUAAAUUUAAAAUUUAAAGUUUAAAAUUUGAAAUUUGAAAUUUAAAUUUGAAAUAUGAAAUUUGAAAUUUAGAUUUGAAAUUUGAAAUUUGAAAUUUAAAGUUUGAAAUUUAAAAUUUAAAAUUUAAAAUUUAAAAUUUUAAAUUUCAAAUUUUAAUUGAAAAUUUCAAAUGUGAUAUUUCAAAUUUCAAACUUUAAAUUUUAAAUCUAUUUUGAAAUUUAAAAUUUAUGUUGAAAUUUAAAAUUUUAUGUUGAAAUUUAAAAGGAUAUUUUUCCUACCGCCGUAGCAUAGUUUAACUAUGCUACAUUUUCAGGAGUAUCCAAACGGGGCAUUAUACUACAUCAUUAAUAAUCAGCCAAUCACACCUCACUUUUUAAGAAAAAAUUUAUAUUAUUUUUUUUAAUAAUCAUGAUGAGGCGAGUGAAUUCAAAAAAAAUAUUCGGAUUGGCCGGAGACGCCACAUCAGUAUUAUAACUGACAUAUUCUAAACUGUUUUGGUAAGUUUUUUGAAAAAAAAAAAAGUAGAUUGAAAAUAUUUUUUUUUUCAAUAAAGCUAAGAUAUGGCAUUGAAUUUUUUUUUGCCUAAUCCUUAUCCACUUAUCCUUUUAAACAAACAAAGAGCACGUGUUUGUUCUUUUUGUUCUUGUGCCUUUUUUUUUCCAUUUUUUAAAUUUUAUUUUAGAGAGGAAAUGAUCCAAGCCCUUACGUCACAUUUGGUUGCACUCUGUGAGCCCCAUUUAUUAACAAACUGAUCGUAAAUUGUUUUUUUAAAAUAUUAAGUUACAAAUUUAAUUUUUAUUUGGUUUAUUAAUUAACAAGUUGCUAUCACAAACUGAUUCGCAAACAGUCAAUUAAAUUUUCAAUCUUACUAUUAAAUAAAACAUAAUAAAUUUUAAUUUUAAUUUAGUAAUUAAGAUUUAUAAAAUGUAGGCAUCUUUACAAUUAGAUUGGCCUAAAAUCUAAAUAGUAACAAUUUAUUAUAUAUAUAUAUAUAUAGUACAGUUAGAAUAUUAUUGGUAGUAUGAAACCAGUAUUUACUAUUAGCUUUUUGUUCAUUGAAUGUCUAUCAUUUAAUAGAAGUUGGUGAAAUAAUAAUAAUUUAAAAAUAAAAAAGUUGUUGUACUACGCCGAAUACGGGCAAAUUAAUUUCAACUCACGUACGAUUUGUUAAAAUUUUGAGUUGAAAAUUUCGAUUCGUAUUCGGCUCAUUUACUAAAAGAGCAACUAAAUAAGAAGCAAAACACGGGCCACCUCACGAAUAGCGUGCUAGAUUACCAGCCCUCCCAUCCACAUAAGAAAGUCUACAGUGUCACACUUACACCACCACAUCAUCAGUAAUAAAUUAAUUAUAUUUUUUUUCUUAAAAAAAAUAAUAAUAAUACUUUUCUAUCAAUUAAGAUGGAACGGAUGAAUCCAGAGAGGACAAACCUGUUGCUUGGAAACACCACGUCGGCAAUAUAAUUAGUGCAUUGUAGAACUUUUCCAUCACAUGCGCGCGCGCACACACACCACUUUGGCGGUUUCUCCUCUCCACAAGAGUUCUCAGGGAAACCAUCAUACAAGUCCUUGUAAAAAUAAUAAAUUAUAAAUAUAUUUCUACAAACUUCAAUUUUUUAACUUUGUUUCUACAAAAGUCCUAGUAUUUUCAAAUAUGUCCCUUUAGUUUGUUAUGAUUAAAGUAUUGUCUAUUUUACAAGUAAAAUUAUUUUUUUACCAUCACAAAUAUGUCCCUCUAAAAGUUCAAAUUAUUAAUUAAAAAGGGGUAAAAAAGGUAAAUUCACCUCAUGAACUAGCUACGGUUAAGUAUUUAACUUAUGGUUAACUAAAUUUUUUAAACGGAUUAUAACGAUAGGGACAUAUUUGAAAAUAUCAGAAUUUUUACAGAAAUAAUAUAUGAAAGUUGAAUUUUAUAGGAAUUGAUCUGUAAUUCACUAUGUUCGAAGGUACCUAUAUGCAAUUAACCUUAUAUUAUAUAUAUAGUAUACAUAGACAGAGAGAAUGUGUGUGUGCGUGUGUGGAGAGAGAGAGAGAGAGAGAAAGAAGAGAGGGAGAAGGAGAACAUGGCGGCGGCGGCGGCGGCGGCGGCGAUUGGGAAGGGGAAGGGGAAGGAGAGGGUGUGCGUGACGGGGGCGGGAGGGUUCGCGGCGUCGUGGGUGGUGAAGCUGCUCCUCAACAAUGGCUACAUCGUUCACGGAACUGUCAGAGACCCAAGUGAGUUUCUUUUUGGGAAAACUUCAAAAACCCCCCGUGGUUUCGUAGUUUCUCACUUUGCCUCCCUGUGAUUUAAAAUGUAUCAAUUUGCCUCUCCGUGGUUUCUUUUUUUUCUUUUUUUUAUCAAUUUUAUUAUUAUUUUUUUUAAAUCAGUGAUAAAGGUAAUUUAAAGAUACUAAAAUGAAUAUUUGAUAAAAUGGAUAUCUGAAGUUUUUUUGUAUAUAAUUUAAUGAAAUAUUAACGAAAAAACUAUCGAAAAGAUAAAAAUGAAACCACAUGGAUGCAAUUUGAUACAUUUUNUUUUUUUUUUACUUUUUUCCCCACCUUUUGUUCUUAGUUUCAUAAAAAGUUCGAUGCAAUUUCAUCUGGGUAUGUUUUUCGUUGACUAAAUCAGAACUUUCGUGCAUGAUUAGAAGUAAAAAAGUUUGAUUUUUGGGUUGCGGCGACCGUGAUUUGAUAGAACGACAUAUUUCACCUGAUAAUUCAAAUUCAUCUUGUUUGGAAAAAAUGGUCGAAUAGUUAUUUGAUUACACUCUUCGUCUACUAAAUACUACGUUACUCCGGUAGUUGAGAGGAAUCUGAUGGUUUAAGUGAGCCAGCAUCCUGUCCUGUGGCAGCAGACCAAGUGGGCGGAGUCACGUUUGAAAUGGCAUGAGGCCGGGUUACGUCAAGUCACAAUCGAGACCCUUGGGUGCUGCAUCUGUACGCUUUAAGUGAAUUGGUUGUAACAGCUCGAGGUUUUGGAAUUAAUGGUUAGCGCCGGCGAUUCAACAGAAUUCUCUUAUUCUAUACUCUCACAAGGCACCGUUUUUGGGCUGUUGGACAAGUUCAAUCCUGCAAAAAAUGUUCCUUUAUUGAGAUUCCUUUAACCCCUCAAAAAAAGAAAAAAAAAAACAUGUAGAUUGAAAAUUUUGGUUUACAGUGAUAUCAUACUAUAAGCGACCAAUAGCUUGUUUGUUUACAUCUUAAGGAGUAAUUUAAAGAUAGGAAUGAGUGUUUCUUUUCACAUACAUAAUAAUAUACAUUUUGAGUGCCGUAAUUUGAUAGGAAUAUUAGCGCAUAGAAGUGAUUUAUUGCUCAUAUUUUUUCCUAAUGCUGAUUAGACCCAAGGUGUAUCAUUAAUCAGGGAUUGCAUAUUUUUAUUUUAUGUGUGUAUUUUUAUUUUUGAAGUUCAUGUAUCCACUCUGCUACAUAAUUAAAAGCUAACUGUUGUUUGUAUUCUUCUUCUUCUUCUUUUUUCGGAGGGCAAGUUUGGCCUACCGUCACUCAGGCCGUGCAUUUGAGGGCAAUUUUGUAUCUCAUCUUGUCUGAUUUUCUUUCAUACUAACCCUUGGUUACUGCGCAAAAUGUUCUAGGUGAUGAAUCAAAGAAUGCCCAUUUGAAGAAAUUGGAGAACGCUUCGGAAAAGUUGCAACUCUUUAAAGCAGACUUGCUUGAUUAUAACAGUGUCGCAUCGGCUAUUGCGGGCUGCGAAGGUGUCUUCCACGUUGCUAGCCCUGUUCCUCCAUCCAAAGUUCCCAAUCCGGAGGUAUGAUGUGUUCUUUUCUUUUUCCUCUCUCUCCAUGCAUCGUUUCUUUCGCCCGCGUCAUGCUUCAAUAUGUGGUUAUACAAACUUUGCGAUUGUACGAGGCAGUAAGAAGCUUUCACAUGCCAAAUUAGUAUGUUGUCAGCAUACUUAUCACCUGUACUUGUAUAUAUUUGGCUCUGAAGCAUUCAUGCAACUGUGAUUGCGUGCUAAGACUCUACUAUAAGGCUAUGAGUGAAGUGCUCUGAUGGUAUAGACUGAUCAAUGGCCAGUUUUGCCUGAAAAAAUUGAUUUGAUAGAAAACAACAUUGUGUUGUCUUAGAACCCUCUCACGUGCAUAAAGAUAUCUAAGGCUCAAGGAAUGGAGAAAGUAAGAAAUGGGAGCGCUCCGAUAUUAUUUUACCCAAAAGAUCGAUUGGAGAGGAUGCGUCCUUGGAAUUGUCUUAAUAGCUAGCAUCAUGUACUCUGUGCUUGUUGAUCCGUCGCGUUAUUCAUUUAUCUGAUAUUCUCCUCUCAUCGGAAGGAGCUUGAUGUCUAAAUCUAGUGUAGUUUGAUCACGUGUUUUUAACUUUGCAUUUCCAUAUUGAAGGAAGAAGUACUGAAGCCUGCUGUGAAUGGCACUCUAAAUGUGUUGAAAGCGUGUGCUCAGGCAAAAGUUAGGCGAGUUGUUGUCGUAUCAUCUUGUGCGGCUGUCGGAGUGAUCCCAAAUUUGCCGAAGGGUAAGAUCUUGGACGAGAAUUACUGGUCAGACAAGGACUACUGCAGAAAAACUGAGGUAUCUUGCAAGCAUUUCUAGUCUACUAGUUUUUACUGUACUAUAUUUUUAUAAAGACAGCUGUUGAUAAUAUUUAGUAUCUACUAAUUAUUAUGUUCUGUACAGCAUAUUCCUGCAGUCUGGUCUUGUAGGGAGAUUUGGGCAUGAUUUUGCCCCAAGAUUGCACGACUCUAACCUAGCUAAAGCACUAGGCUUAUUUAAUGAUUCUAGUCAACUGUUGUAGUCUUAGUCAAUAUUUUGGCUUGAAAAAUGCCGCAGUGCAUAUUUUACAAGAAAUGCAAGCUCCAACAUGCCUUAAUGUAUCACAAGUUCAGGUUGGAAACUCCUAAAUGAAAUGGCCAUUCAGCAAGUUGGGUUUCUUGCCCUUCGACCACUAGACCACUUAUGCCAGUCCUGUCUUUUGACCUUCCUGGCACCUUGAAUUAUACCCUGUUCUUUCUGUUUCAUACUUCUCCAAACUCUCCAGCUUUGUGCCUUGUUUUGUUGGACUCUUCUUAACUGAUAUUCGUGCUAUUCUACAUUGCAUAUGCUAAAUAUUGUUUGUACUUACUAUCCCACUAUGAGUAAUUUCUAUUUGUUACUUAAUGAUGUUACCAGAACUGGUAUUGCCUUUCAAAGACGCUCGCAGAGAGUGAGGCGUUGGAUUAUGCAGAGAAAAAUGGGCUUGACGUUGUAACUGUUUGCCCGUCUUUGAUUAUUGGACCCUUGCUGCAAUCCACUGUAAAUGCUAGCAGUUUGGUUCUUCUCAAUCUUCUGAAAGGUAUAGAUUGUACAAUGUGAUUAUCUUGGCUUAAUAUCCAAAAAAAGAAAAAAGAUGGAAUGGUUAAGGUAGAUAAUUGGAUCCACAAUUUUAUAUAUCAAAAUGGGCACACCAAGUAUUUGCCUUUUUAUCACUUACGCAAUUGUGCUUGUUCCUUAAAAGUUAUGAUUAUGUUUUCCAAACCAUUUUUCCAACCUAAUGUCCUUUCCCGUCGCAACUGUAAAAUUAUCAGUGUAAUUAUACUCACAGCAAUUAUAGCAUUGUCCUCAUCUUUUAACAUUUACUUUCAGAUAGAUCCCUACUUGACUGAAAACACUAUCUCGUCUUCUUUUGAUGUAUGUUAAUGCAAAGAAGAAUAUACACAAUGCACUAGUUAGUUAUAGUUAUAAUGCGAUUAUGGGUACUGUUACUAAAACUUUUCAUUGCUACCUAUUUUAGCAGGCAAUGACAAUGAUAAUUGGUGCUCAUUAAAUUUGGCCCUCUCUACAUUUGAGCUUGUAAUUUGUAGACCGAAAUAAUUUCUCUUAACCGAAUAUUCUCCCUUUCGAUAAGAAGAUACAAUUCAUCUGAUUAUCAACAUACGCUGCAUAGUUGAUUUUAUCGAUAUCCUCCUUUAUCUCUUCACAUAUACUUGCUAUAAUUGAUUUGCGCAGGAGCGCGUGAGACGAUAGAGAAUAAAAUCCGUCACAUUGUGGAUGUUAGAGACGUCGCCAGUGCUCUGCUUCUGGUGUAUGAGAAGCCUGAGGCGUCGGGACGGUACAUAUGCGCCCCACACAAUAUCAAAAUAAGUGAUCUGAUUGACAUGCUAAAUAGGAUGUAUCCCAACUACAACUACCCAAAGAAGUAAACCCAGGCUUGAUCAUCAUGUCACAUAUUUGCUUCCUGCUCCUACGAAUCUUCGCUUCUUUAACUUUUCUUUACUGUAUAAAUCGCAGCAUUGUCGAAGUAGAUUACGAUGAAGCGACGUAUAGUUCCGAGAAAUUGCAGAAGCUGGGCUGGAAGUUCAGGCUACUGGAGGAGAGCCUCAGGGACAGUGUUGAGUACUAUAAAGCUGCAGGUCUUCUGGAAUAGAAGGAUUACAAGAUCUCUACUCUGACUCAUCUCUCAGUGAGUUAAGAUCCAUACUCAGGAGUUUCUCUUAUUAAAGCUUAUCAAAUUAUGUGCACUUUUGUAUGUGAUAAAAUAAUGCUUUCAAUUUGUUGUCAAACUAGUUAAAUACUUCAAUUGUUGGUUGCUCUUUAGCUUUGCUACCAUGCUUAGUGUAAUGAAUAAAAUAUUGUACUUUAAUUCACAUAUAAUAUAAGAUGAGGUUUUCCUCAAAAAGAUUAAAAAAAAAAAAGGUGGAAUAAUCUCUUGUUCCUGUAUGGGAGGAAGUCAACAGUCAAAAAAGUGAGAUAAAAAUAUAACUUCACUUAUAAUGUUUUUUUUUUCACAUUUAGGUCCUAUUUGGAUGUCGGAGAAUAAGUUAUCUAAGAAUAAUUUAUUAUGUAUAAGAAUUUUCUAAUACGAUGGUAAGUAAGGAGUUUGAUUUUUUGCAUCUUCAAAAAUCUUGUUAUUCAUAAUUUGGUAGGAUUUUAUAUUUUAUCUGUGAGAUGAUUUAUCUUAUUCUGAAAAAAUGAUUUGAAGUUCGAAUACAUUUUAUCACUCUCCUUUAUCAGCCAAAUAUACAAAUUUCUGGAGUAAAUCGAGCAAAUAUAGUGAAUAAGAUAUUCAUGCAUUCAGGCAGAAUUUUAGAGUAAAACAAAGAACGGAAGCCUCACUUAUCUACUUCUCACCCUUGAAUUACUCAGAAAUAAACUCAGUCGGGAAUGUAAAGUAAUUAGACUGGGAAUUUGGAACUGCGAAUACCAACCAAAGCAAUUAUUUUGUUAAUUAUACAAAGCUUCUUUUUCAAGGUGGAUUAAUGGAGCAAUUGUUCAAGAAGAGAGGUGAUGAAUUUGAUAUGGGACAGCAUAACUGAUGGACAUGCAGGUGGCAUGUAUCCACUGUCCCACUUCACUAAAUUAGAUUGGAUAUAUAUAAGCCUCUUUUUACAACAAAGCUAGUUUAAUAAUAGUGGUCUUUCCUAAUUUAGUAAAAAAAGGAAACAUAAAAAAUAUUCUUUCAUUUUACAAAAAGAGAUAUAUCAGUAUAAUCCAUCAAAGUGUAACUUUUUGCUGGUGGGUACUUGGUGAAAGUGACAAUUUUGUGUCAAGUACAUGUACAUUUGGAUGUGAUCUACUGUAGAAAUAUUAUGUGCUGUACAAAAAAAAACUGCUAGGAAAGGAGCACUGUAUAUUUGAAAGUGACAGGUGUUUUAUAAGAAUCAAAUUUUGUAGUUUUUUUUUUUUUACAUUCUUUGUUUAUCAUUCAAAUAGUGGUUUAUAAAAAUAAAAAAAAAAGCAGCUAAAAUACUGAAAAAUUUUAGAAAAAAAUUUAAAUAUUAUUUAUGUGAUUUCACAUUUUCUCACUUUAUCCUGUGAUUUAAAAUGUAUUAAUUUAGUAUCUUGUGAUUUUAUUUUUAUCUUUUUAUUAUCGAUUUUACUAAUUUUUUUCGUUAAAUCAGUGACAAAGUUAAAACUAAAGAGUACUAAAGUGAAUAUUCGAUAAAGCUAGAUGGAGUAUUUCAAGUUUUUUAUAUAUAAUUUAACGAAAUAUUAACGAAAAAACUGACGAAAAAAUAAAAAUAAAAUCACAGAACACUAACUUGAUACACUUUAAACCGCAAGGUAUUAAAGUGAAAAAGUGCGAAACCACAUGGGUGGCAUUUGAAUUUUAUCCAAAAUUUUAUGUAAACAAUCAUUUUUUUUUUCAGACUUUUAAAAAAUUUAUAUUUUAUUCUCUCAAAUUUUUAAAAAUAUUUUCAAAAGAUUACAGGAUUAAUGGAAAGGGCAAAAUGAUCAAAUUACUUUUACUUGUUUUAUAAGGCAAAAAAAUAAAUUUUUAAUAUAGUUUUGUCAUUUUUAAGAACAUUUUUAGUAUAAUAUCAUAAGAAAUAAAUUGAAUAGUGACAAAACACUGAGAGAGAGGCUACAUGCAUCAAUUUUAAAUUUUGAGAGGAUAAAAUAUAGAUUUUUUAAAGUAAAAACUUUAAAUACCACUUCUGUGGUUUCACACUUUCUUACUUUAGUAUCAUGUAGUUUAAAAUGUAUCAAUUUAGUGCCUUGUGAUUUUAUUUUUAUCUUUUUAUUAUCGAUUCUACUAUUUUUUUUUCAUUAAAUCAGUGACAAAGUUAAAACUAAAAGGAACUAAAGUGAAUAUUUGAUAAACCUAGGUGGGUAUCUAACAUUUUUUGUAUAUAAUUUAACGAAAUAUUCACGGAAAAGCUGAUGAAAAGAUAAAAAUAAAAUCACAGGACACUAUCUUGAUACACUUUAAACCACAUGGUACUAAAGUGAAAACAUGGGAAACCACAGGGGUGGUAUUUUAAAUUUAUCCAAAAUUUUAUGUAAACACUCGCUUUUUAUUUUUUUCAUACUUUAAAAAAUCAAUAUUUUAUUCUCUAAAAAUUUUAAAAAUAUUUUCAAAAGAUAAUGGGAUUAAUGGAAAGGGCAAAAUGACCAAAUUACUUUUACUUAGUUUUAUAAGGCAAAAAAAUAAAUUUUUAAUAUAUUUUGCCAUUUUUAAGGAUAUUUUUAGUAUAAAAUCAUAAGAAAUGAACUGAAUAGUGACAAAACACCGACAGAGACUAAAUGCAUCAAUUUUAAAUUUUGAGGAAAUAAAAUAUAGAUUUUUAAAGUCAGAAAAAAUAAAAAAAGUGGGUACUUACCAGAGGUUUUUUGUAUUUUACCCUUACAAAAAAAAGGUGAAAAAUAUAUAAAACUCAUCUGAACUUUGGUGUGCUUUGAUUCAACUAUUUAAUUUUAAAAAAAAUUAAUUUUAGUACCUAAUCUUUUAAUAUAAUAAAUAUAAGUCAUGCGGUAGUUCUUCAGAUAAAAUUUGAUCUACUAUUUAUUUUAAUGAAAUUAUAGUUGUGUAAAUUAUGAGAAAUAUACUAAUAAGAUGCGUGAAAAUAAAUGAUGUAUUCAAAAUUUGAAGUUUAAGAGUCACUGAAUGGUUUAAAUUAAAUGAAUUAAAAGAUUAUGUAGCAAAAUUAAAAUUUUUAAAGGUUUGGCAGUUGCCUUCAAAUGGGUCAUAGUUCAUAUAAAUUCUAUACUUUUUACGAAAAGAAUAUUUGAGUUCACUUGUUCGCCAAGGGGCUGUUUGGUUCCUUGCAAAACUGCGGAAAACAAAUUUCGGUGGAAAAAAAAUUUUCGGAGAAAAAUAAAUUUUACGCUUUAGCGUUUGGUUUGUUGGAAAAGAAAAGUAAUUUUCUGUUACGGUUGUUUGGUUGAAAGGAAAAAAAAAAAAAGAAAAAAAGAAGUUAGUUAUAAAUAAAAAAUUAUUAUUAUUAUUAUUAUAUAUAUAUAUAUAUAUAUAUUAUUUUAUAUCAUUAAUAUUUAUUAAUAUAUAGAAUUAUUAUAUUAGCAUAUAUUAAUAUUAAAUUUUAUAUUUGUAAUAAAAUAUUUAAAAUAUAUUAUACAUAUAAAUAUACUAAUAUAAAUAAUAGUGUGGUAUAUAUAGGAGAGAGAGAGGGUAUGCUUUAUGAAAGCACGGAGCCCUCGUGCUCCAAGUUGUUUUCGAUGCUUCGACUUUCGAAUCGCGAUCGGCCUCCGUUAGAGUUGAUCUAUGAGUAUUUUAAGUACCUAGAAAAUAAAUUUUGUGAUUUUUCGAUAUCAUUUGCCUAGUGUUCGAAGCGGCUCAAAAUCAAUAAUUUAACGGCUCGUGGUGAGCCGGUUGCAAGUUUAACGGUGUAGAAAUAUCCAAAUCAUAUGAAAUUUUGAUAGAAAAUUCUUUAAUACGCAUAUAAAACAAGAUCAAUAACUUUGAUUUAAAAUUUAAAGUCAUAUAUCAUCAUAUUUUGUAAGAUUUUAUUUUUCAGCCGUUAAUUUUCAGGCCACUUCGAUCACAUAAGCAAAUGAUAUCGAAAAAUCACAAAAUUUAUUUUCUAGAAUACUUCAAAUAUCUUCUAGAUCAAGUCUAACGAGCGAUCGUCAAUUCGAAAGUCCGAACAUCCGAAAAUCUAUAAGUAGAAGCACGGUGCCGCUCCGUGCUUCCAUAAGCAUACCUAGUCGCACAUUAUAUAUAUAUAUAUAUAUUAUAUAUAUAUAUAUAUAUAAUAUAAUAUAUAUAUAUAUAUACUAUAAUACUACUUAUAAAAGCGUGUAGUUUUGAAUUUUCCCGUCUUCACAAAAUACCGAUCCAUAUUAAUAUAAUUGGAAAUAAAUCACAGCCGUACAAUUUUUAUUUAUUUUUAAAUUAUCAUAAAAUAUAUUAAUUCUUAGUCAUUCGAUUCAAAUCCAAUGACUAACGAAAUUAAGUAUCUGUCACUUUUUUUACCUAAAUUGCCUUAGAUAGUACGUAUAUGUGUUCAUAUCUCCUAGUAACCGCCGCCAACAUAAUAUCAUAUUUUAUCACAAAUAAUAUUUGCAUUUCUUAAAUAUUGCAUUCUCACAUGUAAUAUCCGCACCUAUAAAUAUACAAUCACAUAAUACCUUCAGCAUAUAUAAUAUUUAAUUAUAAUAUUUUAAAGUGAAUAUAUAUAAAAUUAUCUCAAUUUUACUACUAAUACUUAAAAUCUGAGAAUAUUUUUUCAAUAAAAUAUAACAUAUAAUUUACAAUUUAAACUUUUAAUUUGUAGUAAAUAUGAUUCACAAAUUGAUAUUAAUUGAGAUAAUUAUUAAAAUAAUUGUUGACUACAGACAUAUCCUUUUAGUCGGAAAAAAUAUUGGAUUAUAUUUGCGAGAAAUAGAAAGAAAUUUAUAUUUAUCUCAAAUUUUUGUAAACCGAAGAUGAUUUACGUAUUCCCAUAAAAAAUAAUAUUCCAGUACUUAUAAAAAAACGAAAAUUUCUAUGCAACAAACAUUGAAAAUAUUUUGUAUCUACUAUCUCUCAAUUAGCUAACUAAAAAAAAUUAGAUUUGAAAAAAAAUAAUUUAAAUAAGCUUAUAAAAUCAGCUUUAAAUUUUAAAUUUGGUUCAUAAUUUCAAAUGUGAAUUAAUAUUGUAGGUGUGUAAACAGUAUUUCAAAUUAUAAAUAAUUAUUUAACUUGAAAAUAUAUCAAAUUUAAAAAAUAGAUGGGAUGAUAAAUAAAUUAAUGUCUUUAAUAAUUAUUUAUAUUCAAAUUAUGGAUUCAAAAUUAAUUUCAAAUUUUGAGUUUUAUUCAUAAAUUUAAAUAUGAAUUUAUUAAUUUAAAAUUUAGAAUUAUUUUAAAUUUUUAAAAUUUGGAUACAUAUUAAAAAAAUUAAUUUUAGAAAAAAAUUAACUGAUAUAUAAAUUUAUACCAUCAAUAAUUAUUUAAAUUUAAAUUAUAAAUAUAAAUUUAAUUUAAUUAAAUAUUACGUGCAUUGCACGUGCACUAUAACUAGUAUAUAUAUAUAUAUAAGUGGGGCACAAAGAGAGGUCCAUCUCCUCACGCGGUCCACGAGGUGGAGCGGACCUCGUGGACCAUGCCUUUUUUUCUCCCCGCGUCAUGCGCAACGCUGCGCGUGGACCUCGCCUCACGCGGUCCACGAGGUGGAGCGGACCUUGUGGACCGCGCCCUUUCUUCUCCCGCGCGGCGUGCGCAAGGCCGCGCGUUUUCGUUUUUCGCUCGAAUUACCCUUGUUUUUCUAAGAAUCUGUAAAAAAAAAAAAAAAUUGGGAAAAUUUUUUUACGAGCCACCAAACACAGGAAUUUCACUUUUCAACCGAAAAAAAUUUUUCGGAGUGAUUUUACGAGGAACCAAACACAUCCCAAAUAAAUAAAAUUGAAAAAGCACAAAAUUUAAGUUUUAUAAAAAAAUGUAUAUGCCGCAUAUUAUGUUUCACAAUGUCAAUCGUAAAUGCGAAUGUUGUAUCAUUGAAACAAUAUAAAAUACCAAUAACUUGAUACUCCUAAAAAUAUUCAAAUUCAAAUAAGUUACUUAUACUUUUGUAACGAGUACAUAACAAUUUUGUAACUUUUUUCAACUGUAUAUAUUUAAUAAUACCAUAAUAAAAUUAUUGAUGAUCAACAACUGUUUGAUUGGCUGAUAGAUACAAACUUCAUCUACAAGUAAUGAGUAUCGAGUUUCAAUCAUGAUUCAAGUAUCUCAUGCUACAAAUGUGAAUUAGGAGACAUCAAAUCGGCCACGUGGUGUUGUACAAGAUGCGUCGGAUGUUUAUUUCAUUUUAUCCUAAUAAUUGGCCUAUGUACUAAUAAUAUUUUUUAAAUUUAAAAACAAGGGAAAACUUCAAAAAAAAAAAAAUCAUGUGGUUUCGUAUUUUUUUACUUUAGUACCCUAUAGUUUAAAGUGUAUUAAGUUAGUACCCUAUUGUUUCGCACUUUUUCACUUUAAUACCAUGUGGUUUCAAGAAAUCAAGUGUAUCAAGUUAGUACUCUGUGGUUUCAUUUUUAUAUCAAGUUAGUACCAUGAGAUUUUAUUUUUCUCUUUUUAUUAUUUAUUUCGGAGUAUUUUUUUUCGUUAAAUCAAUGACAAAGUUAAACUAAAGGAUACUAAAAUAAAUAUUCGAUAAAAAACCCCAGGGUACUAAAGUGAGAAAAUGCGAAACCACAGGGUACUAACUUGAUACACUUUAAACCACAGGGUACUAAAGUGAGAAAGUGCAAAACCACAGGAUACUAACUUGAUGCACUUUAAACUACAGGGUACUAAAGUGAAAAAGUGCGAAAGCACAGGAGGGGUUUUGAAGUUUUUCCUAAAAACAAACAUAUUGAACCAAGUCUAAAAAAAUUAGUAAACAAAGAUGGAAGGAUCAAGUUCAAAAUAUGCCAUAAUUGAGGGUUUAUCCGCAAACUUUUGGUAAAAAUAGAUGGAGAUCCCUAAAACUAUAUUCCAUAAUGGCCCCUUGACUUUUUUUUAUUCUAUAUAUUAAGACUUCUUUAACUUUUGUUGUUUUAUUUUACAAUUGAAUAGUUUCAGUAACUUAAGUUUAAAACUUUAUUAAAAGUUACAGUUAGAUAUAUUAAUUAACUAUUUAAUUAUUUUAAUUAUACUUGAUUUCUUAUUUUGCUCUCUACUCUUUUAUUUUUUACAAUCAAAUUCUGAACUUUAAUUGUAAAAAAUUAAUUGUACCAGUCACUAACAUCAACUCCCACUCCUAUAUGUGCACACAUCACAUCAACCCUAAUUUCACCAAACUCAAUAUGGCCCUCCGUGCCAACUGUCUCUUUUGGAACAAAACACUUUUAGGGCCUGUUUGUUUCGAAGGAAGUGAGGUGGAAGUGUGACGGGGAAAAUGAUUUUCGGUGAAAACUCACCACUUCCGCCGUUUGGUUCACCGUAAUUUUAUUACGCCCGAAAGUCCAGUUUACCUAAAAUAAUGAACUUGACUUCGCCCUCCCAUGGGGCGAAGUCAAUUACGGUGAAGUGAAAAAAAGGCAAAAAUAAAUUAAUGUGUUAGGGUUACCUCUUCUAAAAUAUGAUCAAAUUUGAUUAGAUAAACUUUAAUAAAUUUUUUGUUUAAUUUGUAUAUUUAGAAAAUGAUGAAAAAUGAAUUUGUUAAAUGUUAAUAAUUUUUUAACUUUAGAAUUUUAUUUGUUGCAUUAUUAUAAUUUAUAUGCAAACAAAUAAUAUAAUUUUUUAAAAUUUUAUUUUAUAAUUAUACAUAUAUAUAAUUAUAUACAUAUAUAAUUAUAUUAAUUUUUAUUUAUUAUAAUUUAUUAUUCACUAUAAGUUACAAAUAGACAAUGAUAUCACUUUGAAGGUAAAUAUACCGAGGGUGGAGAGCUACAUUUUUUACGUCAUCUACUUUCUACCAAACAAACAACAGAACUCACAGAACUGCACUUCCACAGUUAAAAACAAAUAGCAGAAGUGAACUAAUUUUCACCCCAACUCCACUUCAACUCAAAGUCCACUUCUACCCCAAGUCUACUUACGUUGAAACAAACAUGCCCUUAGCCUCCGUUUGGUUCGGGGUUAAGAAAAAAGUAGCUAUUCCAGGAAGAGGGUUAAGUUCAGGGUUAAAGUGUGGUUAAAAUUUUUUUGUGUUUGGUUGGGGGUUGGAGUUAGUCUAGAAUAAUGAAAAAUAGUGUUUGGUUGGAGUAGGUGGGAUAAGAAGAUAAUGAUUGAUAAAGAAGGAUAAUGAUUGGUUGGAGUAGGUGUGAUAAGAAAGAUAGUGGGUUAUUAUGAAUAUAAAAUAGUGUUUGGUUGGAGUUUGGUGGGGUUAGGUGGAGUUAGCUAAUCUGGAAUAAUUUAUUUGAGGACCCCACCCAUUUUUUGAGGUGUUUGGGAAUAAAAUGAAGGUUUAGGAGUUAUUCCACCCCUUAACCCCCAACCAAACAAGGGCUUAAGUACUGAGCCAAAAAGUGCUAUCAAAUUCUUCUAAAAAUUUCAAAAGAUUAGUGCGGAGAUUGAUUGAGAACUAUCGAAUCAUAACUAUAAUCUAAUAAUCUGUAUAAGUAAGCAAUGCUAUAUUGGAGUCUGAUGUGUCCUGGCCUAUCUCAUCAAAAUUAACUAAAAUUUAGAUUUUCGUGAACUAACAUAAAUUAAAAUAUAAAAAUUAGGAACCCAAUAGCAAAAUAAAAAUAAAAAUCGACGAUACUUAGCGCAGUUGACUAAGAGUUUGAUGAUUGAUACUCCAGUUUCAAGUUUGAAGCCUAAUUGCUUCGUACUUUUAUCCGAGUUUUUUCUUUUUCUUUAUAAUAAACUUAACUGGCAUAAAAUAUGAAGCCUAAUAAAAAUUGACCAUAUUUAGCGCAGCUGACUAAGGACUUAAUGGUUGGUACUCGAUUUCUCAAAUUUGAAGCCUUAUUGCUUUAUAUUUCUAACUGAGUUUAUUUUUUAUUAAAGCAAAAUCAAGCAGGUUUCGAACUUGGGAUCUCAGAUACCAACUAUUAAGCACUUUGCUACUUGUGCUAAACACUCUUGAUGAGCUUAUUUUGUAAAAAAAAAAGAAGAAAUAAAUAGCUUGCAAUCUUUCUCUUAACCAAAAAAAUAAAAAGAAAAAAAACACAAAAACAAAACAAAAAACUUCAGAGAGCAAAGUGAAAAAAGGAGAAAGGUUGGGGACUAAAUGACCAAUGGUGCAAUUUAUUUAUUAAUUAAUUAAUUUAGGAAAAAUUUCAAAAACCCCCAUGUGGUUUCAUACUUCCUCACUUUAGUAUCCUAUAGUUUAAAGUGUAUCAAUUUGCUCCCAUGUAGUUUUAUUUUUAUCUUUUCGGCAAUAUUUUCUUAAUAUUUCGUUAAAUUAUAUACAAAAAAAACUUCAGAAACCCACUUAGAUUUAUCGAAUAUUUACUUUAGUACCCUUUAAUUUUAACUUUGUCACUGAUUUAAGAAAAAAAAUAAUAAUAAAAUUGAUAAUAAAAAGAGAAAAACGAAACCACAGGGGAGGCAAAUUGGUACACUUUAAAUUAUAUAGUACUAAAGUGAGAAAGUACGAAAUACAGGGGGUUUUUGGAAGUUUUCCCAUUAAUUUAUUUAUUUGACCAAACUAAUAAUUAAAGAGCGAGGGGUCGAUGGCCCACGCUCGCUCUCUCUUUCUCUCUCUCUCUCUCUCAUCUUCGCUGUGUUCGCGACUCCGCAUUUGAGAGAGAGAGAGCGAGGAGGCGAGGAGGAGAGAGAGAGGAAGAAGAAGAAGAAGCUCUCUCUCUUUCUCUCUCCCAUGGUGAGCGUCUUCUUCUUCUUCUUCUUCUUCUUCGUCGUCCUCUUCGCCUCAUCCCACCACCGCCACCAAUCGAACAAACCCUUGUCGUGUUUCCCUGAUCGCCAACGAGCCCAUUACCCCUUUUGACCCGACCAUCUCCUCCGCCCUGUAAAGCUACCGCCUUGCCGGGUUUAGUACUGGUUGAACCCCAUCUCCUCAAUCCUCCUCUUGCCGCGCCCCCUUUCCCCUCUCCAGUUCGAGCUCUUCUAGGGUUUGCCUCUGGGCAUGAACCCUCGGCCCCCUCCGAUGGCGCCGCACGCCGGGGCGGGGGCGGGGGCGGGGGCCGCCCCGGCUCUCCACUACCUGAACUCGCCCUUCGGCGACACCACCAGGACGAAGGUGUUCGUCGGGGGGCUCGCGUGGCAGACCCAGAGCGAGGGGCUGCGGCGCCACUUCGAGCGCUACGGCGAGAUCCUCGAGGCCGUCGUCAUCUCCGAUCGGUACACCGGCCGAUCCAAGGGAUACGGCUUUGUGAGUCAUCGUCGUUGUUGUUAUCGGAAUUUCGUGAAAAAUUCGAUCUUUGCGGGUGUUAAGGGGCUGAAUCUUCAGGUGACUUUUCGGGACGAAGAGUCGGCGGCGAGGGCUUGCUUGGAACCGGCUCCCGUAAUCGAAGGCCGACAGGCCAAUUGUAAUUUGGCUUCGCAAGGGCGGCCUCGACCGGCACCACCCUAUGGUAGGCCUUCUUCACCUUAUAAGUUGUAAUGCAAAAUCUCAUAUAUCAAAUGCCUCUUUAAAGGUGCUAUUUUUGGUGCUUUUAGUUGAUCAGUGAUUAGCCUUUUCCGAGUUGUCUAUGAAACAUGUCGGAAAAAAUAACUUGUUAUCAUCUUUUAUGUUAUGAUGCAAGCAAUCUAUGUGAUCUCUCACUUCAAGUUGGUAUAUUCUGAUUCUUGCAUUUAUUUGCUGUUGUCUUGUCUUUGUGGAAAUUAUUCCGAUAUGUUGUUUGUGGUACACGCCUAAAACCCUAGGGUUACUACACUGUAACCAUUCAUUUAAUUUUGUUUUUCUUCAUGUGGGAAUUUUCUCAUCCACCGGUUUAGUCAACAGUAGAUGAUUAUGAUUCGUCCUAGAUGCUUAUAUUUUGCUUCCAAAAAUAGGUAUGAAUUGACCCAACAGUGACUUAAAAAGAAAAAAUUUGUCUAGGGUAGCAAUUUGAGAUUAAUGUAGAGCAUGGAUGCUUUACUAUGGAAGAACCACACCUGAUGAUAUGGACAAAGAAACACUCGAGAGGAGUUCGAAGUAACAUGUAGUCGAGAUGUCGCCUAGAAACUCUAGCACUAAUUAGGGAUGUCUAACGCUGGGCCUAGGUUGACCGUUUUGGCAUUCCUACGUUAGAGCCGCACUGAGCUUGGUUUUUGAAUUUAUUUCAUUUAUUCGGAAAAAUGAUAGUGUUUGGAGGGCUUUAUAAUGGGAAUGUAGCAAGAGGGAGGCUUAGGUUGGCCAGAUUUGGUUCACACCAUGACAAGUUGGAGUGGAUAACCACGGUUCCUGGCAUGAGUCGAUUGGACCCAUUAACACCUUGCACUGUGAUGCUACAUCUUGUAGAUAAGUGGAAACCUGCGAGGGGAUCUCAUGGAUACGUCAGUAAAUUAUAUGCUUCAUGUUUGGAUUGUGGAAGCUUUUGAAGAUAGAUAUUCCUGGUCCAUCUGAUCCGUUAUCUUCAUCAGUGCUUUUCAAAAUUUGUCGGUGUCAGACGGUAGAUGUAUUUUCUUUGAAAAGAUAAUUUUGAAAACGUUUUUGAGAGCUAAAGUUGGAAAUUGUCUAUUUGAAGAGUAAAUUGAGCAUUCUUGGAGAUGUAUUAGAAGUAUUGUUCAAAUAGAGGGUGUCUAGCAUGGAGGAUAUGAACUUUUAGAAUUUUCUUAGUGGUUGAAAAAAACCUGUUAUUUGCCUAGUUUAAAGUUUUUGGAGAGAGUUAAAUAAUUACUUAGAUCCUAGGUAUAUAUUUGCCAUCUUUUCCUUGUUGUUCGUAAUACCUGAAGUUUUGUUUGUAUCAUUUGUUGCCAAUAACCAAUAAUUAUCCUCUUUUCUAUAUGGGAAUCUUUUAGUCAGGCCUUUCUGUCUUGUCUACGAUAUUUCGUCGCACCGAUUUGCACAACAUAUUUUGCAUGCUCUAUUUUUCAUAGUCUGCUUGUAUUAGUGUUAUGAUAAUUAAUGGCGCUUGAGAACAUCUAGAAGUAUGAUUUAUCAACUUCUGUCAUGAACUUUCCUUUUGUUUCAACUAGGUGAUGGCAGCACAUUUGUCAAAUUGGUGUGGUGUUUGUGGUCCUAGUUUUAUUUGUCGAUUUAUGAUUCCACAAAAAUUUACAGGACUUCUUGGCAGGAACUUAUGAUCCUGAUAUGGAAAUUCCAGUGCGUCUGGAAGUUGAUAUUCGAGUUCUUGGUCGAAGCCGAAUACAACGAUGCUUUGAAGUGCACAAGAAUGAAUGCUGCUGGCAUCCAUGAUUUUGACCUGAAAAUUGGAACAUUUAGAGAAUCCAGAUGGUGAGAGAGAACAGUUUGGGAUCAGAGAGGAAGUUUGAGCUAAAUAGAAGAUAAAGACUAGUGAUAAAUCAAAGCAAACAGGCUUAAGAUGAUGGUGAUAGUUUAGCCAAGAAACCAAAAUCGCUUUUUAAGAAAUCACUUGCAUGAGCAUGAUGCUGAAUUCUUAGUUUUGUCAUAUGAGAUUGGUGUAACAAGUGGAAGUUAGUGUUAACUGACUGCUAGGAGGUUGAACUACUUCUUAUGUGAGGUCUUGUGGCCAACAAAAGAUUCCAUUUUAAACAUACACCUUGUUAUCUUAUGCUGCUAGGAAGUUUUGUUUUGCUUUAGAUGUUGGUGAUAGGUGGUUUGGGGCAAGCUGAUAGGCUUAAUUCUUGUCCACUCUCGUUAGGCUCGAGUCUUAUUUGCUUUACCUGUUGACUUUCACCUCCAAUACUUGUUUUUCUUCUUUGUAUUUCAUAUGUGCGUAUAUGUGUGCUAUUUUCCUUUUUUUAAUUGGUGUGCAUAUAGUGGUUUUUGUGUGUGUGUGUGUGUGUGUGUGUGUGCGCGUGCGCGCGCGCGCGUUGGGGGAGACUCAAGAACGUAAGUUCCUAAACCCAAGGGCCCCAAUUAAUUUCUUACUUCUUUGACAAUGGCCGGUCUCUUCUUCAACAUUUAACCAAAUAAGAAACCACUGUUUAUCAGAUAUUAGUACGUUCUUAGUACUGCACAUCACUGACUAUGGAGUGUUGAGGGAAAACAUGAGCACUUUGAUAUAGAACUCUCAUUUGUGGUUUUCUACUUACUGCGUUCUGUUUUUCAUGUAUUUAUGUGUAUGUCUCAUUUUAAGUAACUAAAUGCGGAUCGUUUUCUCCUUUUCUUUUGGAAUAGUGCACAUAAGGCCGGCAGCCCCUUACUCCGGAGGCUUUCCAGUUCCUCGUGGCUCAUAUGUUGGAAAUUCCACUUAUGUACAGACAUUUCCAUACAACUACCAACAAGCCAUUCCAUAUCAACCAUAUGGGUAAGUUAUUCUACGGACACUUUAUAGUCUUUACAAAUGUCAAAUAUCUUUUCAAGUGAAGUAGGGAAACUUGGAUUCAAAAAUGCACACAGCCUGUCUAUUUUACCACUAAGAUUGGGGAAAAAACGUAAAUUGCUAAUUAGCUAUAGUAUGUUGUUAUUGACAUCGAAUUUGCCUUUAUUCUUAUGUAUAUUAUCAUUAAAAUCUUAUUCAUUAGUCAAGUGUUCUCUCGUGCAGGUAUCCAGCAUUUGGACCUGAAUAUGUAUACCAACAGGUUUGAGUACUUAAGAAUCAUAUUGACCAUAAAUCUUUCUCUGGGAUCCAAGUUAUUCUUCUGCUAGUUAAUGAUUCUCUUUUCUUUUCUAGAAUGUCUAUACUCCUUAUACAGGACAACAAUAUCUUCAAUUUUAUGGUGCACCCGGAAUGGCAAACCCAGCAGUUAUCCCAUAUGGGCAAUUUGGCCAGCCUCAACCUAGUAGUCCGGGUUUUCCAACAUUUCCGAGUUAUGCGUUGCCUAGUCAUCAUCAGCUUAUGCAAUUGACUGGUCCAACUGUCAAUGGAGUAACUACUGCACCUGCAACUCCUAUUCAGGCACCAUAUCCCACAGGCAAGCUUCUAAUCAACUACUCUAUGCUGUAUUAAACUUAGCUGAUGUAUAUCCAUGGUAAUGCAGUUCUAUAACAAAACAUAUUACUGCAUUCAUAUAUAUACAAUGUCCUUUUAGAUUCUUUCUAAAUGGUUUUAGAUAGACGUAGAAGUGAAUAUCUUAGCAUUUCUAGAUAACAGCUUGUACUCAUGUUCUGAUGGGAAGCAAAAAUUUUAAACAUUGAAGUUUUUUGUGUUGAAUGUUGGGUCCUUUUUCGUGACAAAAUUUUAAAAAACACCGUGAUCACAAAAGAUAAUAUGAGAGUGUGAUAUUGCUCCUAGGAAGUCUAGUUUUCGUUUUUUGUUAAUAUCUUUAAGUGUAGGGGAUUACAGAAGUGAGGAAGUGGGCUUUAAAUCAUGGUUUGUGGCCAAUUCUUUAUAUUUCUUCUUUGCUGUUAGUGUGAAAUCUACUUCCUCAUCAUGCUUCUCCAUUCCAUUGUCUUCUCACUUUCCGUCACUGCAGCUUUUUUCUUUAUCACAUAAUCAUUUUUGCAUAUCUGUUACUGUUAUUUUGUUUCAGAAGCUUUUCAUUUUUACUUUAGUUUAGCUCUCAAACUGAUAUUGAGCCAGUAAUAAUUGAUGAUACUUCUCUUUUGCAGAGGUUACAUUACUCAUUUUAAAUAAAAAUCAAAAUGUUAGUAAAAUGUGAUGAUCUGGCAUCCUUCUGUUCGUGUGACUUAAAAAGAGUUCCAAUCGAAUUUAUCAUCUUGUUGACAUACUAAUGGUGCUACUUUCCUGUUUGCAGUCUCAAUCUUUUAAGAACAUCAAUACAUCGUCUGUCUUUGUUAGAAGAAUCUGACGUUUUAUUUCACAUGCUUCCAUUGCUAUGAUUGUUAAUGAAUUACUUUUUUAACACGCUUUAUGCAUUAUUGAUACAACAUAAAAAUUAGAAGACAAGUUGGAGAGCGUAAAUGAAUGUUUUACGUAGGGAUGCAAACGGGGCGGAUCUGGGGGCGGGAGACCCGCCCCGCCUCCCGCCCCGACUAGCAAAAAUCCGCCCCGCCUCCCGCCCCGAAUCCGUGACGGGUUAAAAAAUACAUCCCAUAAUCCGCCCCGCCUCGUAACCCGCCUCCCGCCGGCGCCCCGAAUCCGCCCCGCCAACUAAUAUUUUUUAUAAAAUUAUAAUAUUAUUAAUAUUUUGUAAAAUAUAAAUUAAUAAUUUUUAAUAAUAUUAUAUAUAUAAUUUAACAAUAUUAAUGGUAAAAAUUAAAAAUAUCAAUCACAAUUCAAAACAAAAUUCAAAUAUUUCAAAUACAUUAGAAAUGAGAGUAAUAACUUAUUUGUAUUUUAAACUUUUUUUAUAAAUAUAUUAUUUUUUGGGAAUAUUUUUUAAAAAUGCAAAUGAUAUUCGGGGCGGAUUCGGGGCGGGUCAAAAUUUUUCCCGUUUCCUGCCCCGAAUCCGUCUCGGAUCGUAAAACUUACCCCGUUUCCUGCCCCGAAUCCGUUUAUUUUCUCCCAUUUACUGCUCCCGUCGGGACGGAUCGGGGCGGGAGCUCCACCAACCCGGAUCCGUUUGCAUCCCUAGUUUUACGUCCUUUAAUUUUUCUUUUAUAUUUCAAUAUACAUGUAUGCUUUUAUCUUGGAACUAGGUAAAAGGCUUCAGCCUUUUGGAACAUGAAACUUUAGAAUUUCAUGGAUGUUUUUUGCAAUAUUUGGUUGGUAUCUAAAGUCAUUUAGAUGUUGUUUUGCAUUAGAAAUAUUAGUAAAAUACAUUGAAAUAAGGCCACCAGUUUUGUUAUUUUGACUAGCGUAAAUUUGACUCAUGCUAUACUAUACAUUUAUGUUAUUUUAUCACUUAACGAGAUGCAUCCUAUAAUCUAGCAGACUUUUAUUGUUGUAACUAUGCUUUGUUGACUGAUGUUCUAGGAAUAGCAGGUCCACUACAAGGUCAGCCACAGUUAUUCAUCCCUCAUUCAGCACAAUUCAUACAGGGUGGUGGUUCAGAGCGAGCAACUGGUUGAGAGGAGCUUCGUUAUGAGCGACAUUUGGAGGUACCCAUUCAGCCUUAACUGAUAAUAUAAUUUCUUCCAACUCUGUUUGAAGUUUUGAACUGAUUAUAAAUUACUCUUUCGCAGCAGGUAUCCUAUAGAUAUGCAGCAGGACGAAGAACUGCACUGCUACUCGAGCGGCACGCUUCUUUCCUUGCAAGCUAUCAUCUUUUGCAUUCUAGAGGUUAGUUUCUUAUUCUACCUUAUGACUCCUCGGUUUCAAAUUUUCUGUUUAAGCUGAUGGUAAUGGUGAAAAAACAAAUGCAUUCCGUACCUAUAAGCAGCGAAUUUAAUCAAAGAUAGAAGCUAGCACUUGCACCUACCUAGUAGGCUAGUUGAUGGAACACAAGUUUAUUUGCACUUCUGCUGCAACCCAAAAGCAUCACUGUAUAGUUCAGCUGACAGAGGAAGAAUCUAAAUAUUAGAUAAUUAAAUCCCUUCUGAUGUGCGAUGUUGACAAGGAGCAGCUCAGGACAAAAUCUCUUCUAAUCAUUUUAUGGGCCUAAAAUGUUUUUCUUAAAUAUUUCAUUAUUAGUAAUCUUUCGUCUUUUCCGUGAAUUCUAGACUACAUAUUGGACUAGUAAUUCCUGACUUGGUCCUGACUUGGUCUUAUGUCUUUUAGAUUUUCUGAUUCUUUAAACUUCUUCAUGCAAUUGUGAUGUUAGUUGUGACAGCUAUAACAUAUGUGUUCUCAAGAAGCAUGAUCCCUUUCCUUCCUUGAUUUCUCUAUGACAAUAAUAUGCUAUUUUUAAUGCUGUGCUACGCCAGAACACAUUGAUUCACAAUUUUCUUUUAUGGGGAAAUAGGUUGGUUGUCCAUUGCCGUGGUCGCCAGAUGUACCAAGAAAGUCAACAUGGAGUCGCUCCGUCGGAUGGAGCUAAGAGAAGCAGCAAAGAGCUCAAAUAUGCUCUGAAGCCCUGCUUCUGUCAUCAGGUGUCCGUAAAUUCCCAUUCCCUGCCAGAUUAUGUUGAAGAUUGGCGGAGGAUGGACUUGAACCGUCGUCGGAAUUGGAGUCCGCCGACCGGUAUAGGUAAACAUUAGGAGCUAAAUUAUUUUCCGAAGUCCAUGAAGCAAAUCUGGUUCUAUGGCCCUUCUCUUUUCUUAUCGGGUGGUUUUCGCGAUGCGUAUGUUACACACUGGAUGCAAAGUCUCGUAAUGCGAACCGAGUGUUUGCAUGUUUAGCGGGGUCUCUGAUUUGUGUACUUGGGAAGUCUUUUCUGAACUCUUUCAUGUUCAAAUAAGUAGUUGUGCUUUGAGAGCAUGCAGUAGGAGGCUUGAUGCUCUCUGUUCCCUGGUCAAAUUCAAGGUUGUUACUAAUCUCUUUGUUACCAAUCAUAUUAAGCUGUCCAAUAAUUAUGGAGCUUUAUUGGCAAUUCUUUUCCUUCUCUCUCAUGUUUUUCUUUAACUUUGUGGUUUUAUCCCCAUUUCUUUUCUAACCAAAUAAGAAGCCGAAGCAAGGAUUUAAGUACGGUGACAUAGGAUUGUGCUAAGCAUUAGCUAGUGCGGCACAAUAUGGUGCAUGACAUGCCACGUAUUACGACAUACUAUGACAUAAAAUAUUUUCCUUUUUGGCAUUAGUAUAUUCGAGCACUUCAUUAACGCAAUUACUUCCUAAGUUUAAAAAAAAAAGAAAAAAGAGAGAGGAUUUUGAGCUGUGUCACUAGUAGGGAGACGUAUUAUGCCGAUAUCUUGUUGGUAAAGCUAAUGCUCACGGGCACUUAAAUCCUCUUGAGCUAGAGAAUGGUGUUUUUCUUGUGUGCUUAUUGAGUUUGCAAUCCUAUCCAAACUUUGGUUUUUUUAGCAUCUUAUAUCAUAAAUUGUUCUGACUGGGAUCAGUUGUUAAAUUGGUGCAGUUAUUAUUGACAUGGUUUGUCAGGUCCUAUUUUACUCCCAGUUCUGAUCUGCAGUCUGUACUCUGUAGGGUUCUGCUGUUGAGUACAGCACUAAACCCUGAUUUAUUUUUCCUAGAAACAAACUCUUUCUCUGCAACAAAAUUACCAGUUCAGAAACUAAGAACUCUUGAUUUGUGGAGCUCAAAUUUCAUUUCUACUUCUCUCCACCAGCAGAAAUUGCAAAUUUUUUCAUUUCUGCCAAAUACUGUGCUGAAAACCCUAAUUAAAAAGCUCAAACAUAAGUGCUGAACAGGCACUCUAUCGAAAAUAUAGGGGCUGAUUGGUUUCAUACACUUCAAGCUACAAUUUCCAUGCAAUUGCAGCUAUCUAAGCCAAGGAUUUAAGUGUCCAUUAGUACGGGCCGUAUCUAUCGUGCCGUACCGUGCUAACAAAAUAUCAGCACGAUACAGUCUCUGAGCCGAUGGCACAGUUCAAAACUCUCUAUUUUUUAAAUUAGUGAGUAAUUUUCUCAAUAAAAUUCAAAAGAUUUGAUAAAAAUUAUAAUAAAUAGUUAGAAUAUUUUGUUUCUAAAGAAACUAAAUACUACAUGCUAUUAUGUGUUGGCAUAUAUUUAUUUUUUAUGACUGGCACACAUCGGCAUGGCCUAGCAUGCAUCAUGCUGUGUCGUAUCGUACCAACAAAUUUUGAGCACGACUCCGUGCUACGGCACUUAAAUUCUCGAUCUAAGCCCAAAAAAAAAAAAAAAAAAAAAAAAAAAACUGCUUGUUUUGUUGUAGUUGUUGUAAAAUGCUAUUGUUGGACCACAGACGAAAUUCUAACUAAUUUUUUUUUAAAAAAAAUUUAGCUGAAAAUAUAAAAUAAUUAGAGUUCGAAUUUGAAACUAUAGAUGAAGCCCCAAGUGUUGUACUUAGAUUUAUUCCAAAAUCAGGCGUAGUUGAAUUGAGGAGCGUAAUUAAAUUUAUUAAACAAACCAUUCAUCCCCCAGAAGUAAAAAUAAUUUCAUUUUCAUUUUGGAGGAAACAAGCAAACACUAAGUAUUUUAUUUUAGAUUUUUUUCAAGUAAAAUGUGGGCAUAUAUUUUUAAAAUUGUUUUAUUUUAUUUUUAUUUUUAUUUAAAAAAUGUUCUGUGGGAGGCGAUCCAUUAAAUUUAGAACGAAAAAAAAGGCUAAAACACGGAAAACUCUCCUUAAACAUUCACUUUUUUACUUUUUUUUAAAUUUUCAAAAAUCUAUAUUUUUCUUUAAAAUUUCAAAAAUACUUUCAAAGGAGAGGGUGAAUAGUUCUUACUUAGUUUAUAACAAAAUUUUUUAAUAUAUUUAUAUUAUUUUUAAAAAUAUUUUUAGUAUAAAUUAUAAGAGAUGGAGCUGAAUAUAUAAACAAGAUAUGUUGAGGAGUAAAACGUAAGAUUUUGAAAUUCAAAAGAGAAAAGUAAAAAAAAAAAAAGNAUUUAUUUAACUUUCAAAAAAAAAAAAAAAUCACAUUUUUAACGCGAUUUGUGAGAAGGUGGAGUACUUCUACUAUUUCCUCGACUCAUCGUAUCCCGUGAAACCUCUUCUCUUACACUUUUCCUCUCCCUUUUUACGAUCUAGGUUAAAAAUCUAGGGUUUCCGACACAUUGAGUAAGAAAAACAUGUGUUUUUGUUGCCUUUCCGAGUUCUUUCCUUUUUUUCAUAAUUUUUUCUGGUGAUUUUAAUACUAUUCGGUGGUUUAGGUUCGGAGUAACUUGAAAAUCUGGAGAAUUCCAAUUUGAUUUUUUUGUUUUAGUUUAAUUCGAUUAGCUGCGGUUGUGAGUAUCCAUAACCUGUUUGAUGAAACGCCUUUCUGAGUUUUUGCUGUCUUUCUCAGUUCUUUCCUUUUUUUCCAUAAUUUUUUUUUUGGUGAUUUUGAUACUAUUUGUGGUUUAGAUUAUGAUAAACGUGAAAAUUUGGAGAAUUCCAAUUUGGUUUUUUUUUGGUUUUGUUUUUGUUUUUGUUUUUAUUCUGUUAGCUGUGGUUUUCAGUAUCCACAACCUGUUUGAUGAAAUGCCCAAGUGACUACAGCUACAUCUUUUGUUUUACGGGAUCAUCAACUGUAAUUUCCCUACAAAAAAAAAUAAUAAUAAUUGAAGAGGCUUUAAUUCUAUUAGAUAAAGGUGUGAUCUUUGAAGGUUAUUUUCAUAAUUCUUUAGCAGUAUGUUGUUAUGAAUCAGGAGCUUGAUGCUUUAUCUAAAAUGUGGCUCUUUUCCUGCUUGAUCUAGGUUCAUUUUGUUACUUAGCUUUUCAGAAUUAAAGGAACUGUGUUGGAGAAUGAGAGUUGAAUCAUAAAUGGAGUGUGUGGUACAAGGGAUCAUCGAGACGCAGGUAUUACUGACGUUUGUUAUAGUUGUUCUCUUUUCCUUCAUGUAAAUAUUUUAAGUUCAAUUGCAAUCGCUUAUGGGGAGUUUAACAGGACGCCACUAAGGAAUAUCUACUAGAAUCUGUAUUGUAGAGGCGUAGCGAAUUUCACUUCAAGUAAAUAAGAGAUGGAGCACAAGCAUUACUAUGCACUGGAAUCGUAUUAUCUCUUAGACCCCGUUUGGGAUUGAGGGUUAAAUAGAGUUAAAGCGAAUAGAGAUAUGUUUUUCUGUUUUCUGCUAGGACCGCAGAAAAUAUAUCAUAAUUGAUUCAUUGUGGUAUGCAGAACGUGAUAUUCGUACGGAAACAAAAUACUAUGGGAUGCACUUUGGUAAAUACCGUGGGAUGCACUUCGGUUAAGUUAGCUGUUGGCCUCCAUUUCAAAUCAAAGAAUAUAAUAGCCUUUUCUGUAGGAUAUUAGUCCAGUCUCCACUUCAAAACAACAUUUGAAAUUCUAACACCAACCGUACCUAGCGCAGUUGGCUGAAGGCUAGAUGGUCGGUAGACGAGGUCCCUUUUUGGAAGCCUAGUUGCUUCAUAUUUCUAGCUAAGUUCAUGUCUAAAAACAUGAACGAAGCGGAUAGCUUGCUAUCUUUCUCUAAAAAGGGAAAAAAAAAUAUUUGAAAUUCUAACCACGUCCUAGAAAGUGCUUGUUUCCAUCGUGUCCUUGUGUCGUCAAGCUCUUUUUCCGAGUAUCACACCAUAUCGAAGACCAUUUUAAAACUCGAUUUCCUCCCUGGUCAUCCAUCGUGUCUUAACGGCCUCCGCAUCUUAGGCUUGCUUUGGGAUUGGCAAAAUUUAGCAAGUGCAAGGUUAGAGAUUAAAUCAUACACCUUCUUUUUUUUGCCCUGAAUAUGAGUCGGUAUAUAUUAAAGAAAGAAAAAAUUGAGAACUAGAGGUAUGAUGAUAUUGGCGGCUUCAUGUUUUUCAUACACGUUUGCACCAUGAGAUUGCUUCUGGUCCUGCUAAUCUGGAAUUUAGUUGGAUGGCAUUUGCUAUGUGAUUGCACUAAUGUCAAAUUUGAAUAAGCCCAACUUGAAGUUUUAGCAUUUCCACAAGCUUCACUUGUUGAAACUGGAAAGUAUGUGAGAAAUGAACUUGAAUGGUGACACUCUUUGUUAAUUCUUAUUAAGGUCGGCAAAUAUAUUUGGACCCAGUAUGCUAGUAUUUAAUUUGCUACUCCGCUCUCAGUUUUUUUUUUUUUUCCCUUUGUCUAAUAUACAUUAAUGAUGUUAAUAACCUUGGCCGUUCUUGUUCUUCCUUAUCUACAGCAUGUUGAGGCCCUUGAGACUCUUCUCCAGGGUCUAUGUGGUGCUCCGAAAGAGCGUGUCAGGGUUCAUGAGCUAUGCCUCAAAAGUGGACCAAACCUCGGUAAUCACUUUGUAGUGACAAAUAUAUGUAUAUAAUAUAUCAGCGCUUCUCGGGCGCAAUUAUUAUAGGUCCCUUACCUUUUCUGUUACAGGUGUGGUGCCCUCGGAGGUCCGUCUCUUGUGUGAUUUAGCACUCCCCACACCAACUUGGUAUCCAUAUAUCAGUUUCAUCUGCUUUUUGCUUAUUCUUGGUGCCUGUUUAGCCUAGCUCCUUUAACAAUUCUUUACCCAAGAAAGCAUAAGUUUCCAGAAACCAGAUCUGGAUCUUUUGCUUUGGUGAGGGGCUAAAAUGAGUUCUUGGGCCUAAAUAGCGGAAGCUCCAACUUGAAGCUUCUGCUUUUUGCUGCAACAUAAAGCCAUUAAGGAGAUUUUUCAAUUCUCCUUUGAACAACUCUACUCCGGCAGGCAGCACUUGUGCAGUUCUAGCAAGGCCAAACAGGCCUUUUUGCAUCUAAUAUAGUCUGCGUGACUAGUUAUUAGUAAUCAUGUAGGACUGUCAGACAUGUCGGAGGUGCCGUGAGAGGCGCAGCAGCUGAGCAAAUCUGCGUGCAAGUGCGACAAGUAACAGAGAGCAAAGCGAGCAAUAAUGUGCUACGCUUCUUCUAUGCCCUGGGAUACAAAUUAGACCACGAGCUUCUGAAGGUGGGUUUCGCCUUCCGUCUCCAGCGAGGAGCACAAAUCACUGUAACUGUGACUUCUGCAUAUAAAAUGCCGAAGCUUCAUUCCACCGACGAAGCCGUGCUCAUUACUCCUAGCAUACAACUGGUGGAAAUUACGGCACCUGCCGCAGCAGAUAACUAUAACGAAGUUGUAUCUGCCGUUACUUCCUUGUGCGAGCAUUUGGCUCCGUGAGUAUCAUCUUGUUAAAAGGGCUGACUUUUGCUUUUGAGUUGUAUAAAUGAUAUUGUAUAGCAAUUUACAUGAGAUUCGUGUUUGACACUGCAGGCUACUGCAUCUGUCAAAGCCCGGCGUUUCAACUGGAAUUGUUCCGACCGCUGCUGCAGCUGCAGCUUCUCUCAUGUUGAAUAGCGGCGGUAAAACCUUGUAGAUCACUGCAGAUUUUUUCUCUUAGUUAUGAAGAUUGUACUAAAGAGAUCUCUGUCAACUGGUGUUGUUCAUGUUGCGUUACCGCAGGUACCGAAACACGUGAUUUAAGAAAACUUAUCUAUGUAUUCAGUGGUAAUGCUCCUUUUUUUUUUUUAUCAAGUAUAUUUAUUUGACAAAUGAUUUUCAGAGGUAAUGUGUUCAUGGUGGGUUGAGAAGAACAAGAAAGUGAACUCUGCAUAAUAUAGAAAACAAGGGACUAGAGAAACAUAAAUCAACAAUGAAAGGGUUCUUUCCAAUGUGAAUUAAUUACUUGUUGCUCAUACAUAUAUCAUCACAAAGUAUUUUCUUUGUAGUUCGUCGUGUGGCAUUUAUUUUUUGUCGAGUUUGCAACACCAAUUACAAGGCUUUAUUAGAGGUUUAACUUGUAGAGAAGCCAUUUUGAUCAAAUGCCGUGUAUUAUUAUACAUAAGAACUACCCCUUACAAUUGUACAGAGUCGAAUUUGUGAAACUCACGAAUUUUUCCGCUCUUUGAAAAGCUAACUUUCCAAGAAAAACUCAGUUUGAAUCAAGAUCAAAAUCUCUUAGUAGGAUGCAGAGGAUUCAACCCUGAGAUUCACCGAAAUAACCUUACAAAUGUCAUCUAAAAGACAAACCGAUGCUCAUCUACUUCCAAUCAAGACUUUCAUAAUUCACCAAACAAAAAGACUUGAAUUGAGAAUAUCACAUUAUUGACUACUAUGAACAGCGAACAUGCGGAGUCUAAACUGAUACACCAAACUCAAAAAGCUUUAACAGCAAAAUGUAAUAAGAUCAAAGACCAAGUCACUGAAAAUAGCUACCACAAGUCUCAGUCUCUAUGUAACAAAUACUAGACUAGAUGGAAAGAGAUUGGACGGAGCGGAAACAGGGAAGAGAACUUCAUCCUCCUCUUCAAAGACCUGCACCGCCUUCUCAUGAGAACCAAUUCGGAUCCUAAGUUGAACCCUAGUUUCUCAUUUGAUAUUUUUCCGGCCACCGCCGCUUCCUGCGAAAGAUCUCUUCCUGGACUUCCUGGAGUCCUUGGAUCCUUCGGGCCGGGAAGGGCGGGCGUUAGGAAGAGGCACACGAUGCUCACGAGCCAAUACAGGGAACCCAGCAGCAGGGAUUCUGGGAAAAAGAUGAAACCAAUGAUAAGAAAGAGAGAGAUACAAAUGGUAUAGCAUAUAAAUAAAAAAAUUAUGAAAGUGAUCAUGCAGCUUAUGCUCGGCGGUUACACAAGCAGAAGAUUUUUCACUCAUAAUCCAACAGAGAGAACAACUACUUUUUAGUAUCUCUUAAUCACCAAACGUAUUUCAAGUUUUUUUUUUUUAAUUCUUUUAAGCAUUUCCCUGGAUAAAACAUUAAAUGGCUCUCUAAUAUGAAAAAAUUCUUUUUCUAUUAAGCAGUUGCAAAAAGGAAAUAAAGCAUAAUAGCCCCUUCCUAAUAGGUGUCUUGCUCUAAUCAUAUAGUACCUUAUUACAAUCAUGAAUCUUAAUUUGCGAUUGAAUUAUUAUAAACUUUGUUAUUUCUUUAAUUUCUUUAUUAUUAGCUUUUUAUCAUAGACAGGGCGAAGCUAGAGCCGAAUACCACCUUGCUUGGCUGCCUCAUAUCGCAGAGUUGUAAUGGGAUUUUGAUUGAUUUGCAAGGAUUUGGUACGAUUUGUUGUAAUACAACCGAACGCAUAAUUUGAGGUCAAAUUUCGUGGGUAUUUACAUAUGUUGUUACUGUUAGUAAUAGAAUAUCCGUAGCCUAAUUCUUGUACCAUGCAACAAAGGGUAUAUGAGAAAAAGUGCGAGAAAUGGUGUAUCUUCUUCGCCUUCCAGGUAUACCAUAUGAAAAUGAAUUUCUCUCUUUUUGCUACAUUACUGAAAGAGCUAAGGGUACACACUGAAUAGAUUUUCCGACUGGUUCAAGCAAUAAAUCAGGAAUCAAAUUCAACUCAACUCCAAUUUAUCCCGAACAGAAAUAUUUAGUUCCUAAUUGACAUUAAUUAAAAUUUUCUGAAUGAAAUCAAACGAAUUCCAUUUAGAUUCGAUUCCAUAUGGAGUGUGCAUAAAAACAACAGUACAGAAAGCUAUACUGCAAUACCUCAUUCUAACCGAGUGGAAACUUUAUCAUAGUUUCCAAAGCUUAGUUUGUAUUAUAAUGUUCAUUGUAACUUGAUUUUCCUUUAGAAUUAGUUUCACUAUGGAAUAGGGAGAAGCUCCAUACAUUGAAUAGAGUAAACCACAUAAAUUCAAUGAUUUAAUUUCAACCAUUUGCUAAUGAAGUUGGCAAGAGAUGAGCAAUAAUCAAAGAAAGAAGGAAGAGCAUAGAUGUUGGCAAAGUGUUCUUACCCACGAAGAGUACGGCAGACUCCUGUACGGCGACGUGAGCACCGAGCGGCCCUUCAGCGUGCAAGCGAUGGCGGAGCGCCAUGUUCUCCGCCGUGCAGCACUGGAGCGCGUAGCUGAGGCGACGGCACUCCGAUUCCAGGUACCUUGUCUUUAUCUCCAGCUCCUUCACAUACAUCUUCUUCCUCUCCCUUGAUUUCAUGGCCGAGUCCCUAUUCCUCAUUUGCCUGAUCAAAUUCCCAACAACAGGGGCCACACAAUUACACAACAACCAACAAUACUUACCAAUGUUCCAUCCAAUACAUAUAAUCAAAAUCAAAUUUUUGCACAAUCCUUUUGUAUUUGUCUCAAUUUACAUUACAAGGCUCAAUUUUUAACUAAAUUCCACAAGAUUAUUUCCUGCAAUCGCAUUUACAUAACAAAAUUUAAAUGCACAAAUCUUGCUUAAUUAAACCAAAUUUUAGCUAACAAUUGUUUUUAAUUACUAAAGCUCCAUCCAAUAUAUAUAAAAUCACAACAGUAACUGAGAAUUGAAACCCCUAGCGGGGCUAAAUCACAAAUAAAUUAUUGCACAAUCCUUCUGUUUUUGGCUCUAUUUACAUUACAAGGCCCUUUUUUUAACUAAUUUCCACAAGAUUUUUCCUGUAUUAGCAUAAACACAACGAAAUUUAAAUGCACAAAUCUUGCUUAAUUAAAACCAAAAUUUACGUUUUCAAAAUCCAAAAUUUUUAAGAGCUAAGCAAUACCAAAUCAAAAGAAGCCCCCUAGGGCUAAUCGUACCUUCUCCUCUUCUUGCUGAUCGGAUCGUCGCCCUCCACAUCAACCACAUCGGCGCUCCCCCUCUUCUCAUCUCCGGAGCCGGCGCUCUCCUCGACGUUCUCCUCCCCCGCGGCGGCACCCUCGCUGCCCACGUCGUCCGACGCGUCGGCGAAGAACCCCGCGAGAAACGCGUCGUCGAAGCCCUCUCCAUCCUCCUCCCCCUCCCCCUCCCCCUCCUCCUCCUCCAAGAGGAACCUCUCGAUCUCGCUCACGUAGGGCGAGAUCGAGAUCGAGCUCGGGGGAGAGUCGCCACCACCCGCGGGGCUCGGAUCGGACGUUGUGGAGUUCGCCGACUCGCACUCCGGCGGAGGAGGGGCGCAGAUCGGGGCCCAGAGGUCGGAUGCGUCGAGGUCAUCGGAAAACCCGGCCAAGAGGUGUUCGACGUCGAAAUCGGCAAGCAAGACGUCAUCUUCCUUCAAAGCUUCAACCACGGCCCCAUCCAUGGCGAAGAAGAAGAGGUAGGUUACAAGGGUUAGCGUUAGGGUUAGGGUUUUGGGGGGAGGGGAAGAGGAUAUAAGGAGGAGGAGACGAGCCCUUCCUUCGUGGAGAAGGAAUGGAAAAAUGAAGAGCGCUUUCGUGGGAAGCUUCGAGUUAUUUAUACUAUUUCGUUUUAGGUGAAAAAUGCAUGGCGACCCCCUCAACUAUGUGCUAUUACGAAGUCAUACCCUUAACAACUUUUAUUUUUUAAUUUAGUCCCCCCAACUUCAAUUUUUUAAAGUUAAGUAAUUAAUUUAAAAUUUUAAAUUAGAAGUUUAUUAAAUUUGUUGAUAAUUUUAUCAGAUUUAAUAGUUUUAAUUGCUUUUACAAAAUAAAUUUAGGUUUGUUAAUGAUUAAUAAGUUUUUUAAUUUAAUUUUGUGUAAAAAUUUAAAUAAAAAAUUAAAAUUUGAGGGAGAAUUUGGGAUAAAUUACCAAUAUCCUAUAGUUGAGGAGUCUCCACACAUUUGUACCCUUCAUUUUAUUUUAUUUUAUUUUAUUUCAUUUCAUUUUUAAAUCAUAAGUCAUUCAAAAUAGCUCGUCAAAGCUAUUCAUAUUUUAAAUGUUUUUAUCGAAUUUAACUGAUUAGAAACAUCUAAAUAAAUACAAAAAAAAAAAAAAAAUUAUGAAUUUCAAAAAAUUAAUAAAAGUUGAAAGGACCAUUUCAAAAAAGGCGGUGCGAGGAGGACCUUUGGAAAAUGUUACUUUUCAUUUUAAUUUUUAUUUGUGGGGCCCAGGGGAUUAUCGUCGUCACUCGACCAAUGGGAACGCAGAGACCAAGCCAAUCGACCAAUAGGAAUGCAGUAUCAUUAACGCUAAAGAAGCACUCUUAAUUACAGAGGAUUACGGUCCAACAAGGUUAUUAACUAUUUUACAAAUCAUAAAACAACUAAUUAAUCAAUAUUGAUUAAUUAUUAUUGCAUCGUAAAUUAUAAUAUUAUUGUAUACACUAGUAACAUAUUAGACGUUCAGUCCCGCUAAAUUGAGUUACAAAAUUUACAACUCAAUUGUAAUAAACUUUAUAGUUUUGAGUGCCAAAAUGUCACACGCCUCGUAGUUUAAGGUCCUAAAGUGGCUCGCCAAAUACCCGUUGGAUGAGCGGUUGCGCCCAAUUUAGUGACUACAGUAUCACAAGAUAAUAAAACUAUAAAAAAAAAAAAAAUUGUCCAAAUUGUAUUAUUGUUAGGGUAAAGAAGUUUAAAUGAUGAUUAGAUAUAAUGUAUCUGCUUCGGCAAUAUCAAAAUAUGCUAUGGAUGUAUCAAAUCCCUAAACUUCACCAUGGGCCAACCCAGUGGGUCAAGUAAUGUAGCUCAAUCCUAGUCUCCUGGGCUUGGCCCAUCACUAGUUUUCACCGUCGAAAACUUUUUAACUUAAUAUUUUUUUACAGUCCCACAUCGAAUAAUGUAAUUGUACUGCGGUCGAGACAUGUAACACGAAAUUAAAAGGAAGGGCUCCUCCACACGAUUUUCUUUAUACAUUUUCUGGGGAUGCUUCUGUCACCUAAAUUGGUUCAAGGUGAAGUUAUUUUCGGCCGUAAAUGCUUACUUUUUUUAUUUAGUUCGUCGUAAGUUAAAUUCGUGGAGAGAAAAUACUUUUAUCUAAAUUUUACUACAAGUAAAAGUAAGUUUCAGCAAAAAAAAAUCACUUACGACCAAACAAACAUGCCCUAAAGUCAAGCGCAGUGUGCACAGUAUAUGUAUCUCGUAUGUGGGCCAUGGAUAUUAAUUAAUUAGAUUAAUUUUUCUUCAAGGAGAGGGUCCACCCAACCAUACCAAUAACUCAGAUAUAUAUCAAACAUUAAGAACUUGCACUGCUGGUUCCCAAACUUUAACUCAAAUUUUAUUUUAGUUUUAAAAUUUUAAAUCUGAUAUUCAAGAGUUUGAACUUUCAACACCAUUCUAUUUAUUUUCUUACACAUUUGACGAUAUUUUGGUUUCGGCCGCCAUUUGGAGUAAAAGUUGUUGCUUACGGUCAGGAAAGCAGCACCGGAUCACAGUCACCAAAAUCAGACGGUCCACAAUCAAUCUCUCUCGCCGCGUCUCUUCUCCGCGAACACCACUCAAUCGGACGGCUCGGAGCGGGCGAUGAUCCCCAGAGAUAUACUUUGCUGAACCCGGUGUAUCCGUACAUAUCCUACACCACAUCGAAUAUUUAUUUAAUGAUUAAUGCUAAAUUCUAAUUUGAUUGACAGUAUAGGAAAAAAAAAAGUUAUUUAAUUUUACUAAAUUUUGGGUGUUUACAAUUUAUAAUUUUUAAAUAUACAAAAAUAUUUUAAAUAUCAUUAUAUAUAUAUAUAUAUGUGUGUCAGUGUGUAUAUUUAAUGUAUUGGGUUUUGCAAAUUUAAUGUAUUCUAAACUUUAAAAUUG
This 58386-nucleotide long non-coding RNA is filed under the name Ananas comosus (pineapple). Its description in RNAcentral is "long non-coding RNA (ACOM_LNC027622)". The record is from RNAcentral. Lineage: Eukaryota; Viridiplantae; Streptophyta; Magnoliopsida; Poales; Bromeliaceae.